RNAcentral lists this long non-coding RNA (48951 nucleotides) under Triticum aestivum (bread wheat). RNAcentral's name for it is "long non-coding RNA (TAES_LNC003989)". Lineage: Eukaryota; Viridiplantae; Streptophyta; Magnoliopsida; Poales; Poaceae. The record is from RNAcentral.
UACUGAAAUCAGUAUUAAAGUAUUAAAGUGGAUAAUCGCAAUACUGAAUUUUAGUACCAAAAUGAGUGAUGUAAAACAUAGUCGGGUCAUGUUGGUGCUAUAUUUCAGUACUGAAAUCAAUAUUGAAAUAUUAAGGUGGAUAAUCACAAUACUGAAUUUUAGUACCGAAAUUAGAAAUUUAUAACUCAGUCGGGUCAUCGUGGUGCUGUUUUUUCAGUAUCGAAAUACUAACGUAGUUAAUCUCAAUGCUAUAUUUUAGUACCAAAAUUAGUGAUAUAGAAUUGAGUCAUGCGUUCAUCCAGCUGUUUUUCAGUACUGAAAUCAAUACUGCAAUAUUUACAUGGAUAAUCGCCGUACCGAAUAUUAGUAACAAAUUUGUGAUAUACAGCUAAGUCUCGUGAUCAUCGUUUCGUUUUUAAGUCGUGAAAUCAGUAUUGAAAUAUUAAGUGGAUAAUCGCAAUACUGAAUUUUAGUACCAAAAUUAGUGAUAUACAACUGAGUGUGAUGAUCGUCAUUUUAUAUUUCAGUAUUGAAAUCAAUAUUAAUAUAUUAAUGUGGAUAAUCACAAUACUAAAUUUUAGUACCAAAAUUAGUGAUACACGACCAAGUCGGGUCAUCGUGGUGCUGUAUUUCAGUAUUGAAGUCAUUACGGAAAUGUUAACAGGUCUAAACAUAAUACUGAGUUAUAAUACCAAAAUCAGUGAUAUAGAACUGAGUGAGGUGUUAGUCGUGCUAUUUUUUUGUACUCAAACCAAUACUGACAUAUUAACAUAGAUAAUCGCAAUACUGAAUUUUAUACCGAAAUAAGUGAUAUAAAACUGAGUCAGGUCAUCCUAGUGCUGUUUUUAGUAUUGAAAUCAGUAUUGAAAAAUUAACGUGAAGAAUCACAAUACUGAAUUCUAGUACCAAAAUUAGUGAUAUAGAAGUGAGUCGGGGGAUCUCAUUUUGUAUUUUAGUACUGAAAUCAGUAUUGAAAUAUUAAGGUGGAUAAUGGCAAUACUGAAUUUCAGAACCGAAAUGAGUGAUAUAGAACAUAGUCGGGUCAUCUUGGUGAUCUAGUUUAGUAUUGAAAUCAGUACUGAAAUAUUAACGUGGAUAAUCAGAACACUGAAUUUUAGUACCGAAAUUAGUGAUAUACAAUCGAGUCGGGUCAUCGUGGUGCGGUUUUCAAUAUUAAAUAAUUACGUGGAUAAUCACAAUACUAAGUUUUAGUACUGAAAUUAGUGAUAUAGAACCGAGUCAGGUGUUAGUCAAGCUAUUUUUGAGUACUCAAAUUAAUACUGAAAUACUAACAUGGAUAAUCACAAUAGUAAAAUUUAUACCGAAAUUAGUGAUAUAGACGUGAGUCGGGUGAUCGUCGUUUUGUUUUUCAGUACUGAAAUCGGUAUUAAAGUAUUAAAGUGGAUAGUCGCAAUACUGAAUUUUAGUACCGAAAUGAGUGAUGUAAAACAUAGUCGGCUCAUGUUGGUGCUAUAUUUCAGUAUUGAAAUCAAUAUUGAAAUAUUCAGGUGGAUAAUCACAAUACUGAAUUUUUGUACCGAAAUUAGAAAUUUACAACUCAGUUGGGUCAUCGUGGUGUAGUUUUUUCAGUAUCGAAAUAUUAACGUGGUUAAUCUCAAUGCUAUAUUUUAGUACCAAAAUUAGUGAUAUAGAAUUGAGUCAUGCGUUCAUCCAGCUGUUUUUCAGUACUGAAAUCAAUACUGCAAUAUUUACAUGGAUAAUCGCAGUACCGAAUAUUAGUAAUAAAUUUGUGAUAUACAGCUAAGUCUCGUGAUCAUCGUUUCGUUUUUAAGUCUUGAAAUCAGUAUUGAAAUAUUAAGUGGAUAAUCGCAAUACUGAAUUUUAAUACCAAAAUUAGUGAUAUACAACUGAGUGUGAUGAUCGUCAUUUUAUAUUUCAGUAUUGAAAUCAAUAUUGAUAUAUUAAUGUGGAUAAUCACAAUACUAAAUUUUAGUACUGAAAUUAGUGAUACACGACCGAGUCGGGUGAUCGUGGUGCUGUAUUUCAGUAUUGAAGUCAGUACGGAAAUGUUAACAUGUAUAAUCAUAAUACUGAGUUUUAAUACCAAAAUCAGUGAUAUAGAACUGAGUGAGGUGUUAGUCGUGCUAUUUUUUGUACUCAAAGCAAUACUAACAUAUUAACAUAGAUAAUCGCAAUACUGAAUUUUAUACCAAAAUUAGUGAUCUAAAACUGAGUCAGGUUAUCCUAGUGCUAUUUUUAGUAUCGAAAUCAGUAUUGAAAAAUUAACGUGAAGAAUCACAAUACUGAAUUCUAGUACCAAAAUUAGUGAUAUACAAGUGAGUCGGGUGAUCUCGUUUUGUAUUUCAGUACUGAAAUAAGUAUUGAAAUAUUAAGGUGGAUAAUCACAAGAUUGAAUUUCAGUACCGAAAUGAGUGAUAUAGAACAUAGUCGGGUCAUCUUGGUGAUCUAGUUCAGUAUUGAAAUCAGUACUGAAAUAUUAACGUGGAUAAUCAGAACACUGAAUUUUAGUACCGAAAUUAGUGAUAUACAAUAGAGUCGGGUCAUCGUGGUGCGGUUUCCAAUAUUAAAUAUCAACGUGGAUAAUCACAAUACUAAGUUUUAGUACUGAAAUUAGUGAUAUAGAACCGAGUCAGGUGUUAGUCAAGCUAUUUUUGAGUACCCAAAUUAAUACUGAAAUACUAACAUGGAUAAUCACAAUGGUAAAAUUUAUACCGAAAUUAGUGAUAUAGAAGUGAGUCGGGUGAUCGUCGUUUUGUUUUUCAGUACUGAAAUCAGUAUUAAUGUAUUAAAGUGGAUAACCGCAAUACUUAAUUUUAGUACCGAAAUGAGUGAUGUAAAACAUAGUCGGGUCAUGUUGGUGCUAUAUUUCAGUACUGAAAUCAAUAUUGAAAUAUUAAGGUGGAUAAUCACAAUACUGAAUUUUAGUACCGAAAUUAGAAAUUUACAACUCAGUCGGGUCAUCGUGGUGCUGUUUUUUCAGUAUCGAAAUGUUAACAUGUAUAAUCAUAAUACUGAGUUUUAAUACCAAAAUCAGUGAUAUCGAACUGAGUGAGGUGUUAGUCGUGCUAUUUUUUCUACUCAAAUCAAUACUGACAUAUUAACAUAGAUAAUCGUAAUACUGAAUUUUAUACCGAAAUUAGUGAUAUAAAACUGAGUCAGGUCAUCCUAGUGCUAUUUUUAGUAUUGAAAUCAGUAUUGAAAAAUUAACGUGAAGAAUCACAAUACUGAAUUCUAGUACCAAAAUUAGUGAUAUACAAGUGAGUCGGGUGAUCUCGUUUUGUAUUUCAGUACUGAAAUUACUAUUGAAAUAUUAAGGUGGAUAAUCGCAAUACUGAAUUUUAGUACCGAAAUGAGUGAUAUAGAAAAUAGUCGGGUCAUCUUGGUGAUCUAGUUCAGUAUUGAAAUCAGUACUGAAAUAUUAACGUGGAUAAUCAGAACACUGAAUUUUAGUACCGAAAUUAGUGAUAUACAAUCGAGUCGGGUCAUCGUGGUGCGGUUUUCAAUAUUAAAUAUUAACGUGGAUAAUCACAGUACUAAGUUUUAGUACUGAAAUUAGUGAUAUAGAACCGAGUCAGGUGUUAGUCAAGCUAUUUUUUAGUACUCAAAUUAAUACUGAAAUACUAACAUGGAUAAUCACAAUAGUAAAAUUUAUACAGAAAUUAGUGAUAUAGAAGUGAGUCGGGUGAUCGCCGUUUUGUUUUUCAGUACUGAAAUUCUAUUAAAGUAUUAAAGUGGAUAAUCGCAAUACUGAAUUAUAGUACCGAAAUGAGUGAUGUAAAACAUAGUCGGGUCAUCUUGGUGCUAUAUUUCAGUACUAAAAUCAAUAUUGAAAUAUUAAGGCGGAUAAUCACAAUACUGAAUUUUAGUACCGAAAUUAGAAAUUUACAACUCAGUGGGGUCUUCGUGGUGCUGUUUUUUCAGUUUUGAAAUAUUAACGUGGUUAAUCUCAAUGCUAUAUUUUAGUACCAAAAUUAGUGAUAUAGAAUUGAGUCAUGCGUUCAUCCAGCUGUUUUUCAGUACUGAAAUCAAUACUGCAAUAUUUACAUGCAUAAUCGCAGUACCGAAUAUUAGUAAAAAAUUUGUGAUAUACAGCUAAGUCUCGUGAUCAUCGUUUUGUUUUGAAGUCUUGAAAUCAGUAUUGAAAUAUUAAGUGGAUAAUCGCAAUACUGAAUUUUAAUACACAAAAUUAGUGAUAUACAACUGAGUGUGAUGAUCGUCAUUUUAUAUUUCAGUAUUGAAAUCAAUAUUGAUAUAUUAAUGUGGAUAAUCACAAUACUAAAUUUUAGUACUGAAAUUAGUGAUACACGACCGAGUCGGGUCAUCGUGGUGCUGUAUUUCAGUAUUGAAGUCAGUACGGAAAUGUUAACAUGUAUAAUCAUAAUACUGAGUUUUAAUACCAAAAUCAGUGAUAUAGAACUGAGUGAGGUGUUAGUCGUGCUAUUUUUUUGUACUCAAAUCAAUACUGACAUAUUAACAUAGAUAAUCGCAAUACUGAAUUUUAUACCGAAAUUAGUGAUAUAAAACUGAGUCAGGUCAUCCUAGUGCUAUUUUUAGUAUCGAAAUCAGUAUUGAAAAAUUAACGUGAAGAAUCACAAUACUGAAUUCUAGUACCAAAAUUAGUGAUAUACAAGUGAGUCGGGUGAUCUCGUUUUGUAUUUCAGUACUGAAAUCAGUAUUGAAAUAUUAAGGUGGAUAAUCACAAGACUGAAUUUCAGUACCGCAAUGAGUGAUAUAGAACAUAGUCGGGUCAUCUUGGUGAUCUAGUUCAGUAUUGAAAUCAGUACUGAAAUAUUAACGUGGAUAAUCAGAACACUGAAUUUUAGUACCGAAACUAGUGAUAUACAAUAGAGUCGGGUCAUCGUGGUGCGGUUUCCAAUAUUAAAUAUCAACGUGGAUAAUCACAAUACUAAGUUUUAGUACUGAAAUUAGUGAUAUAGAACCGAGUCAGGUGUUAGUCAAGCUAUUUUUGAGUACGCAAAUUAAUACUGAAAUACUAACAUGGAUAAUCACAAUGGUAAAAUUUAUACCGAAAUUAGUGAUAUAGAAGUGAGUCGGGUGAUCGUCGUUUUGUUUUUCAGUACUGAAAUCAGUAUUAAUGUAUUAAAGUGGAUAAUCGCAAUACUGAAUUUUAGUACCGAAAUGAGUGAUGUAAAACAUAGUCGGGUCAUGUUGGUGCUAUAUUUCAGUACUGAAAUCAAUAUUGAAAUAUUAAGGUGGAUAAUCACAAUACUGAAUUUUAGUACCGAAAUUAGAAAUUUACAACUCAGUCGGGUCAUCGUGGUGCUGUUUUUUCAGUAUCGAAAUGUUAACAUGUAUAAUCAUAAUACUGAGUUUUAAUACCAAAAUCAGUGAUAUCGAACUGAGUGAGGUGUUAGUCGUGCAAUUUUUUGUACUCAAAUCAAUACUGACAUAUUAACAUGGAUAAUCGCAAUACUGAAUUUUAUACCGAAAUUAGUGAUAUAAAACUGAGUCAGGUCAUCCUAGUGCAAUUUUUAGUAUUGAAAAAUUAACGUGAAGAAUCACAAUACUGAAUUCUAGUACCAAAAUUAGUGAUAUACAAGUGAGUCGGGUGAUCUCGUUUUGUAUUUCAGUACCGAAAUCAGUAUUGAAAUAUUAAGGUGGAUAAUCGCAAUACUGAAUUUCAGUACCGAAAUGAGUGAUAUAGAACAUAGUCGGGUCAUCUUGGUGAUCUAGUUCAGUAUUGAAAUCAGUACUGAAAUAUUAACGUGGAUAAUCAGAACACUGAAUUUUAGUACCGAAAUUAGUGAUAUACAAUCGAGUCGGGUCAUCGUGGUGCGGUUUUCAAUAUUAAAUAUUAGCGUGGAUAAUCACAAUACUAAGUUUUAGUACUGAAAUUAGUGAUAUAGAACCGAGUCAGGUGUUAGUCAAGCUAUUUUUUAGUACUCAAAUUAAUACUGAAAUACUAACAUGGAUAAUCACAAUAGUAAAAUUUAUACAGAAAUUAGUGAUAUAGAAGUGAGUCGGGUGAUCGUCGUUUUGUUUUUCAGUACUGAAAUUCUAUUAAAGUAUUAAAGAGGAUAAUCGCAAUACUGAAUUUUAGUACCAAAAUGAGUGAUGUAAAACAUAGUCGGGUCAUCUUGGUGCUAUAUUUCAGUACUAAAAUCAAUAUUGAAUUAUUAAGGCGGAUAAUCACAAUACUGAAUUUUAGUACCGAAAUUAGAAAUUUACAACUCAGUGGGGUCUUCGUGGUGCUGUUUUUUCAGUAUUGAAAUAUUAACGUGGUUAAUCUCAAUGCUAUAUUUUAGUACCAAAAUUAGUGAUAUAGAAUUGAGUCAUGCGUUCAUCCAGCUGUUUUUCAGUACUGAAAUCAAUACUGCAAUCUUUACAUGCAUAAUCGCAGUACCGAAUAUUAGUAACAAAUUUGUGAUAUACAGCUAAGUCUCGUGAUCAUCGUUUCGUUUUUAAGUCUCGAAAUCAGUAUUGAAAUAUUAAGUGGAUAAUCGCAAUACUGAAUUUUAAAACCAAAAUUAGUGAUAUACAACUGAGUGUGAUAAUCGUCAUUUUAUAUUUCAGUAUUGAAAUCAAUAUUGAUAUAUUAAUGUGGAUAAUCACAAUACUAAAUUUUAGUACUAAAAUUAGUGAUACACGACCGAGUCGGGUCAUCGUGGUGCUGUAUUUCAGUAUUGAAGUCAGUACGGAAAUGUUAACAUGUAUAAUCAUAAUAUUGAGUUUUAAUACCAAAAUCAGUAAUAUAGAACUGAGUGAGGUGUUAGUCGUGCUAUUUUUUAUACUCAAAUCAAUACUGACAUAUUAACAUAGAUAAUCGCAAUACUGAAUUUUAUACCGAAAUUAGUGAUAUAAAACUGAGUCCGGUCAUCCUAGUGCUAUUUUUAGUAUCGAAAUCAGUAUUGAAAAAUUAACGUGAAGAAUCACAAUACUGAAUUCUAGUACAAAAAUUAGUGAUAUACAGGUGAGUCGGGUGAUCUCGUUUUCUAUUUCAGUACUGAAAUUACUAUUGAAAUAUUAAGGUGGAUAAUCGCAAUACUUAAUUUCAGUACCGAAAUGAGUGAUAUAGAACAUAGUCGGGUCAUCUUGGUGAUCUAGUUCGGUAUUGAAAUCAGUACUGAAAUAUUAACGUGGUUAAUUAGAACACUGAAUUUUAGUACCGAAAUUAGUGAUAUACAAUCGAGUCGGGUCAUCGUGGUGCGGUUUUCAAUAUUAAAUAUUAACGUGGAUAAUCACAAUACUAAGGUUUAGUACUGAAACUAGUGAUAUAGAACCGAGUCAGGUGUUAGUCAAGCUAUUUUUGAGUACUCAAAUUAAUACUUAAAUACUAACAUGGAUAAUCACAAUAGUAAAAUUUAUACCGAAAUUAGUGAUAUAGAAGUGAGUCGGGUGAUCGUCGUUUUGUUUUUUAGUACUGAAAUAGUAUUAAAGUAUUAAAGUGGCUAAUCGCAAUACUCAAUUUUAGUACCGAAAUGAGUGAUGUAAAACAUAGUCGGGUCGUCUUGGUGCUAUAUUUCAGUACUGAAAUCAAUAUUGAAAUAUUAAGGUGGAUAAUCACAAUACUGAAUUUUAGUACCGAAAUUAGAAAUUUACAACUCAGUCGGGUCAUCGUGGUACUGUUUUUUCAGUAUUGAAAUAUUAACGUGGUUAAUCUCAAUGCUAUAUUUUAGUACCAAAAUUAGUGAUAUAGAAUUGAGUCAUGCGUUCAUCCAGCUGUUUUUCAGUACUGAAAUCAAUACUGCAAUAUUUACAUGGAUAAUCGCAGUACCGAAUAUUAGUAACAAAUUUGUGAUAUACAGCUAAGUCUCGUGAUCAUCGUUCUGUUUUUUCGUCUUGAAAUGAGUAUUGAAAUAUUAAGUGGAUAAUCGCAAUACUGAAUUUUAAUACCAAAAUUGGUGAUAUACAACUGAGUGUGAUGAUCGUCAUUUUAUAUUUCAGUAUUGAAAUCAAUAUUGAUAUAUUAAUGUGGAUAAUCACAAUACUAAAUUUUAGUACUGAAAUUAGUGAUACACGACCGAGUCGGGUCAUCGUGGUGCUGUAUUUCAGUAUUGAAGUCAGUACGGAAAUGUUAACAUGUAUAAUCAUAAUACUGAGUUUUAAUACCAAAAUCAGUGAUAUAGAACUGAGUGAGGUGUUAGUCGUGCUGUUUUUUUAUACUCAAAUCAAUACUGACAUAUUAACAUAGAUAGUCGCAAUACUGAAUUUUAUACCAAAAUUAGUGAUAUAAAACUGAGUCAGGUCAUCCUAGUGCUUUUUUUAGUAUUGAAAUCAGUAUUGAAAAAUUAACGUGAAGAAUCACAAUACUGAAUUCUAGUACCAAAAUUAGUGAUAUACAAGUUAGUCGGGUGAUCUCGUUUUGUAUUUCAGUACUGAAAUCAGUAUUGAAAUAUUAAGGUGGAUAAUGGCAAUACUGAAUUUCAGUACCGAAAUGAGUGAUAUAGAACAUAGUCGGGUCAUCUUGGUGAUCGAGUUCAGUAUUGAAAUCAGUACUGAAAUAUUAACGUGGAUAAUCAGAACACUAAAUUUUAGUACCGAAAUUAGUGAUAUACAAACGAGUCGGGUCGUCGUGGUGCGGUUUUUAAUAUUAAAUAUGAACGUGGAUAAUCACAACGUUUUAGUACCGAAAUUAGUGAUAUAGAACCGACUCAGGUGUUAGUCAAGCUAUUUUUGAGUACUCAAAUUAAUACUGAAAUACUAACAUGGAUAAUCGCAAUAGUAAAAUUUAUACCAAAAUUAGUGAUAUAGAAGUGAGUCGGGUGAUCGUCGUUUUGUUUUUCAGUACUGAAAUCAGUAUUAAAGUAUUAAAGUGGCUAAUCGCAAUACUCAAUUUUAGUACCGAAAUGAGUGAUGUAAAACAUAGUCGGGUCAUCUUGGUGCUAUAUUUCAGUACUGAAAUCAAUAUUGAAAUAUUAAGGUGGAUAAUCACAAUACUGAAUUUUAGUACCGAAAUUAGAAAUUUACAACUCAGUCGGGUCAUCGUGGUACUGUUUUUUCAGUAUUGAAAUAUUAACGUGGUUAAUCUCAAUGCUAUAUUUUAGUACCAAAAUUAGUGAUAUAGAAUUGAGUCAUGCGUUCAUCCAGCUGUUUUUCAGUACUGAAAUCAAUACUGCAAUAUUUACAUGGAUAAUCGCAGUACCGAAUAUUAGUAACAAAUUUGUGAUAUACAGCUAAGUCUCGUGAUCAUCGUUCUGUUUUUUCGUCUUGAAAUGAGUAUUGAAAUAUUAAGUGGAUAAUCGCAAUACUGAAUUUUAAUACCAAAAUUGGUGAUAUACAACUGAGUGUGAUGAUCGUCAUUUUAUAUUUCAGUAUUGAAAUCAAUAUUGAUAUAUUAAUGUGGAUAAUCACAAUACUAAAUUUUAGUACUGAAAUUAGUGAUACACGACCGAGUCGGGUCAUCGUGGUGCUGUAUUUCAGUAUUGAAGUCAGUACGGAAAUGUUAACAUGUAUAAUCAUAAUACUGAGUUUUAAUACCAAAAUCAGUGAUAUAGAACUGAGUGAGGUGUUAGUCGUGCUGUUUUUUUAUACUCAAAUCAAUACUGACAUAUUAACAUAGAUAGUCGCAAUACUGAAUUUUAUACCAAAAUUAGUGAUAUAAAACUGAGUCAGGUCAUCCUAGUGCUUUUUUUAGUAUUGAAAUCAGUAUUGAAAAAUUAACGUGAAGAAUCACAAUACUGAAUUCUAGUACCAAAAUUAGUGAUAUACAAGUUAGUCGGGUGAUCUCGUUUUGUAUUUCAGUACUGAAAUCAGUAUUGAAAUAUUAAGGUGGAUAAUGGCAAUACUGAAUUUCAGUACCGAAAUGAGUGAUAUAGAACAUAGUCGGGUCAUCUUGGUGAUCGAGUUCAGUAUUGAAAUCAGUACUUAAAUAUUAACGUGGAUAAUCAGAACACUAAAUUUUAGUACCGAAAUUAGUGAUAUACAAACGAGUCGGGUCGUCGUGGUGCGGUUUUUAAUAUUAAAUAUGAACGUGGAUAAUCACAAUGUUUUAGUACCGAAAUUAGUGAUAUAGAACCGACUCAGGUGUUAGUCAAGCUAUUUUUGAGUACUCAAAUUAAUACUGAAAUACUAACAUGGAUAAUCGCAAUAGUAAAAUUUAUACCAAAAUUAGUGAUAUAGAAGUGAGUCGGGUGAUCGUCGUUUUGUUUUUCAGUACUGAAAUCAGUAUUAAAGUAUUAAAGUGGCUAAUCGCAAUACUCAAUUUUAGUACCGAAAUGAGUGAUGUAAAACAUAGUCGGGUCAUCUUGGUGCUAUAUUUCAGUACUGAAAUCAAUAUUGAAAUAUUAAGGUGGAUAAUCACAAUACUGAAUUUUAGUACCGAAAUUAGAAAUUUACAACUCAGUCGGGUCAUCGUGGUACUGUUUUUUCAGUAUUGAAAUAUUAACGUGGUUAAUGUCAAUGCUAUAUUUUAGUACCAAAAUUAGUGAUAUAGAAUUGAGUCAUGCGUUCAUCCAGCUGUUUUUCAGUACUGAAAUCAAUACUGCAAUAUUUACAUGGAUAAUCGCAGUACCGAAUAUUAGUAACAAAUUUGUGAUAUACAGCUAAGUCUCGUGAUCAUCGUUCUGUUUUUUCGUCUUGAAAUGAGUAUUGAAAUAUUAAGUGGAUAAUCGCAAUACUGAAUUUUAAUACCAAAAUUGGUGAUAUACAACUGAGUGUGAUGAUCGUCAUUUUAUAUUUCAGUAUUGAAAUCAAUAUUGAUAUAUUAAUGUGGAUAAUCACAAUACUAAAUUUUAGUACUGAAAUUAGUGAUACACGACCGAGUCGGGUCAUCGUGGUGCUGUAUUUCAGUAUCGAAGUCAGUACGGAAAUGUUAACAUGUAUAAUCAUAAUACUAAGUUUUAAUACCAAAAUCAGUGAUAUAGAACUGAGUGAGGUGUUAGUCGUGCUAUUUUUUUGUACUCAAAUCAAUACUGACAUAGUAACAUAGAUAAUCGCAAUACUGAAUUUUAUACCGAAAUUAGUGAUAUAAAACUGAGUCAGGUCAUCCUAGUGCUAUUUUUAGUAUUGAAAUCAGUAUUGAAAAAUUAACGUGAAGAAUCACAAUACUGAAUUCUAGUACCAAAAUUAGUGAUAUACAAGUGAGUCGGGUGAUCUCGUUUUGUAUUUCAGUACUGAAAUUAGUAUUGAAAUAUUAAGGUGGAUAAUCGCAAUACUUAAUUUCAGUACCGAAAUGAGUGAUAUAGAACAUAGUCGGGUCAUCUUGGUGAUCUAGUUCAGUAUUGAAAUCAGUACUGAAAUAUUAACGUGGUUAAUCAGAACACUGAAUUUUUGUACCGAAAUUAGUGAUAUACAAUCGAGUCGGGUCAUCAUGGUGCGGUUUUCAAUAUUAAAUAUUACCGUGGAUAAUCACAAUACUAAGGUUUAGUACUGAAACUAGUGAUAUAGAACCGAGUCAGGUGUUAGUCAAGCUAUUUUUGAGUACUCAAAUUAAUACUGAAAUACUAACAUGGAUAAUCACAAUAGUAAAAUUUAUACCGAAAUUAGUGAUAUAGAAGUGAGUCAGGUGAUCGUCGUUUUGUUUUUUAGUACUGAAAUAGUAUUAAAGUAUCAAAGUGGAUAAUCGCAAUACUCAAUUUUAGUACCGAAAUGAGUGAUGUAAAACAUAGUCGGGUCAUCUUGGUUGCUAUAUUUCAGUACUGAAAUCAAUAUUGAAAUAUUAAGGUGGAUAAUCACAAUACUGAAUUUUAGUACCGAAAUUAGAAAUUUACAACUCAGUCGGGUCAUCGUGGUGCUGUUUUUUCAGUAUUGAAAUAUUAACGUGGUUAAUCUCAAUUCUAUAUUUUAGUACCAAAAUUAGUGAUAUAGAAUUGAGUCACGCGUUCAUCCAGCUGUUUUUCAGUACUGAAAUCAAUACUGCAAUAUUUACGUGGAUAAUCGCAGUACCGAAUAUUAGUAACAAAUUUGUGAUAUACAGCUAAGUCUCGUGAUCAUCGUUCUAUUUUUUAGUCUUGAAAUGAGUAUUGAAAUAUUAAGUGGAUAAUCGCAAUACUGAAUUUUAAUACCAAAAUUAGUGAUAUACAACUGAGUGUGAUGAUCGUCAUUUUAUAUUUCAGUAUUGAAAUCAAUAUUGAUAUAUUAAUGUGGAUAAUCACAAUACUAAAUUUUAGUACUGAAAUUAGUGAUACACGACCGAGUCGGGUCAUCGUGGUGCUGUAUUUCAGUAUUGAAGUCAGUACGGAAAUGUUAACAUGUAUAAUCAUAAUACUGAGUUUUAAUACCAAAAUCAGUGAUAUAGAACUAAGUGAGGUGUUAGUCGUGCUAUUUUUUGUACUCAAAUCAAUACUGACAUAUUAACAUAGAUAAUCGCAAUACUGAAUUUUAUACCGAAAUUAGUGAUAUAAAACUGAGUCAGGUCAUCCUAGUGCUAUUUUUAGUAUUGAAAUCAGUAUUGAAAACUUAACGUGAAGAAUCACAAUACUGAAUUCUAGUACCAAAAUUAGUGAUAUACAAGUUAAUCGGGUGAUCUCGUUUUGUAUUUCAGUACUGAAAUCAGUAUUGAAAUGUUAAGGUGGAUAAUCGCAAUACAGAAUUUUAGUACCGAAAUGGGUGAUGUAAAACAUAGUCAGGUCAUCUUGGUGCUAUAUUUCAGUACUGAAAUCAAUAUUGAAAUAUUAAGGUGGAUAAUCACCAUACUGAAUUUUAGUAUCAAAAUUAGAAAUUUACAACUCAGUCGGGUCAUCGUGGUGCUGUUUUUUCAGUAUUGAAAUAUUAACGUGGUUAAUCUCAAUGCUAUAUUCUAGUACCAAAAUUAGUGAUAUAGAAUUGAGUGAGGCGUUCAUCCAGCUGUUUUUCAGUACUGAAAUCAAUACUGCAAUAUUUACAUGGAUAAUCGCAGUACCGAAUAUUAGUAACAAAUUUGUGAUAUACAGCUAAGUCUCGUGAUCAUCGUUUCGUUUUUAUGUCUUGAAAUAAGUAUUGAAAUAUUAAGUGGAUAAUCGCAAUACUGAAUUUUAAAACCAAAAUUAGUGAUAUACAACUGAGUGUGAUAAUCGUCAUUUUAUAUUUCAGUAUUGAAAUCAAUAUUGAUAUAUUAAUGUGGAUAAUCACAAUAGUAAAUUUUAGUACUAAAAUUAGUGAUACACGACCGAGUCGGGUCAUCGUGGUGCUGUAUUUCAGUACUGAAGUCAGUACGGAAAUGUUAACAUGUAUAAUCAUAAUACUGAGUUUUAAUACCAAAAUCAGUGAUAUAGAACUGAGUGAGGUGUUAGUCGUGCUAUUUUUUGUACUCAAAGCAAUACUAACAUAUUAACAUAGAUAAUCGCAAUACUGAAUUUUAUACCAAAAUUAGUGAUAUAAAACUGAGUCAGGUCAUCCUAGUGCUAUUUUUAGUAUUGAAAUCAGUAUUGAAAAAUUAACGUGAAGAAUCACAAUACUGAAUUCUAGUACCAAAAUUAGUGAUAUACAAGUUAGUCGGGUGAUCUCGUUUUGUAUUUCAGUACUGAAAUCAGUAUUGAAAUGUUAAGGUGGAUAAUCGCAAUACAGAAUUUUAGUACCGAAAUGAGUGAUGUAAAACAUAGUCGGGUCAUCUUGGUGCUAUAUUUCAGUACUGAAAUCAAUAUUGAAAUAUUAAGGUGGAUAAUCACCAUACUGAAUUUUACUAUCGAAAUUAGAAAUUUACAACUCAGUAGGGUCAUCGUGGUGCUGUUUUUUCAGUAUUGAAAUAUUAACGCGGUUAAUCUCAAUGCUAUAUUUUAGUACCAAAAUUAGUGAUAUAGAAUUGAGUGAGGCGUUCAUCCAGCUGUUUUUCAGUACUGAAAUCAAUACUGCAAUAUUUACAUGGAUAAUCGCAGUACCGAAUAUUAGUAACAAAUUUCUGAUAUACAGCUAAGUCUCGUGAUCAUCGUUUCGUUUUUAUGUCUUGAAAUAAGUAUUCAAAUAUUAAGUGGAUAAUCGCAAUACUGAAUUUUAAAACCAAAAUUAGUGAUAUACAACUGAGUGUGAUAAUCGUCAUUUUAUAUUUCAGUAUUGAAAUCAAUAUUGAUAUAUUAAUGUGGAUAAUCACAAUACUAAAUUUAUUACUAAAAUUAGUGAUACACGACCGAGUCGGGUCAUCGUGGUGCUGUAUUUCAGUAUUGAAGUCAGUACGGAAAUGUUAACAUGUAUAAUCAUAAUACUGAGUUUUAAUACCAAAAUCAGUGAUAUAGAACUGAGUGAGGUUUAGUCGUGCAAUUUUUUUAUACUCAAAUCAAUACUGACAUAUUAACAUAGAUAAUCGCAAUACUGAAUUUUAUACCGAAAUUAGUGAUAUAAAACUGAGUCAGGUCAUCCUAGUGCUAUUUUUAGUAUUGAAAUCAGUAUUGAAAAAUUAACGUGAAGAAUCACAAUACUGGAUUCUAGUACCAAAAUUAGUGAUAUACAAGUGAGUCGGGUGAUCUCGCUUUGUAUUUCAGUACUGAAAUCAGUAUUGAAAUAUUAAGGUGGAUAAUCACAAUACUGAAUUUCAGUACCGAAAUGAGUGAUAUAGAACAUAGUCGGGUCAUCUUGGUGAUCUAGUUCAGUAUUGAAAUCAGUACUGAAAUAUUAACGUGGAUAAUCAAAACACUGAAUUUUAGUACCGAAAUUAGUGAUAUACAAUCGAGUCGGGUCAUCGUGGUGCGGUUUUCAAUAUUAAAUAUUAACGUGGAUAAUCACAAUACUAAGCUUUAGUACUGAAAUUAGUAAUAUAGAACCGAGUCAGGUGUUAGUCAAGCUAUUUUUGAGUACUCAAAUUAAUACUGAAAUACUAACAUGGAUAAUCACAAUAGUAAAAUUUACACCGAAAUUAGUGAUAUAGUUGUGAGUCGGGCGAUCGUCGUUUUGUUUUUCAGUACUGAAAUCAGUAUUAAAGUAUUCAAGUGGAUAAUCGCAAUACCGAAUUUUAGUACCGAAAUGAGUGAUGUAAAACAUAGUCGGGUCAUCUUGGGGCUAUAGUUCAGUACUGAAAUCAAUAUUGAAAUAUUAAGGUGGAUAAUCACAAUACUGAAUUUUAGUACCGAAAUUAGAAAUUUACAACUCAGUCGGGUCAUCGUGGUGCUGUUUUUUCAGUAUUGAAAUAUUAACGUGGUUAAUCUCAAUGCUAUAUUUUAGUACCAAAAUUAGUGAUAUAGAAUUGAGUCAUGCGUUCAUCCAGCUAUUUUUCAGUACUGAAAUCAAUACUGCAAUAUUUACAUGGGUAAUCGCAGUACCGAAUAUUAGUAACAAAUUUGUGAUAUACAGCUAAGUCUCGUGAUCAUCGUUUCGUUUUUAAGUCUUGAAAUCAGUAUUGAAAUAUUAAGUGGAUAAUCGCAAUACUGAAUUUUAAAACAAAAAUUAGUGAUAUACAACUGAGUGUGAUGAUCGUCAUUUUAUAUUUCAGUAUUGAAAUCAAUAUUGAUAUAUUAAUGUGGAUAAUCACAAUACUAAAUUUUAGUACUGAAAUUAGUGAUACACGACCGAGUCGGGUCAUCGUGGUGCUGUAUUUCAGUAUUGAAGUCAGUACGGAAAUGUUAACAUGUAUAAUCAUAAUACUGAGUUUUAAUACCAAAAUCAGUGAUAUAGAACUGAGUGGGGUGUUAGUCGUGCUGUUUUUUUAUACUCAAAUCAAUACUGACAUAUUAACAUAGAUAGUCGCAAUACUGAAUUUUAUACCGAAAUUAGUGAUAUAAAACUGAGUCAGGUCAUCCUAGUGCUAUUUUUAGUAUUGAAAUCAGUAUUGAAAAAUUAACGUAAAGAAUCACAAUACUGAAUUCUAGUACCAAAAUUAGUGAUAUACAAGUUAGUCGGGUGAUCUCGUUUUGUAUUUCAGUACUGAAAUCAGUAUUGAAAUAUUAAGGUGGAUAAUGGCAAUACUGAAUUUCAGUACCGCAAUGAGUGAUAUAGAAUAUAGUCGGGUCAUCUUGGUGAUCUAGUUCAGUAUUGAAAUCAGUACUGAUAUAUUAACGUGGAUAAUCAGAACACUGAAUUUUAGUACCGAAAUUAGUGAUAUACAAUCGAGUCGGAUCAUCGUGGUGCGGUUUUCAAUAUUAAAUAUUAACGUGGAUAAUCACAAUACUAAGCUUUAGUACUGAAAUUAGUAAUAUAGAACCGAGUCAGGUGUUAGUCAAGCUAUUUUUGAGUACUCAAAUUAAUACUAAAAUACUAACAUGGAUAAUCACAAUAGUAAAAUUUAUACCGAAAUUAGUGAUAUAGUUGUGAGUCGGGCGAUCGUCGUUUUGUUUUUCAGUACUGAAAUCAGUAUUAAAGUAUUCAAGUGGAUAAUCGCAAUACCGAAUUUUAGUACCGAAAUGAGUGAUGUAAAACAUAGUCGGGUCAUCUUGGUGCUAUAUUUCAGUACUGAAAUCAAUAUUGAAAUAUUAAGGUGGAUAAUCACAAUACUGAAUUUUAGUACCGAAAUUAGAAAUUUACAACUCAGUCGGGUCAUCGUGGUGCUGUUUUUCAGUAUUGAAAUAUUAACGUGGUUAAUCUCAAUGCUAUAUUUUAGUACCAAAAUUAGUGAUAUAGAAUUGAGUCAUGCGUUCAUCCAGCUGUUUUUCAGUACUGAAAUCAAUACUGCAAUAUUUACAUGGAUAAUCGCAGUACCGAAUAUUAGUAACAAAUUUGUGAUAUACAGCUAAGUCUCGUGAUCAUCGUUUUGUUUUUAAGUCUUAAAAUCAGUAUUGAAAUAUUAAGUGGAUAAUCGCAAUACUGAAUUUUAAAACCAAAAUUAGUGAUAUACAACUGAGUGUGACGAUCGUCAUUUUAUAUUUCAGUAUUGAAAUCAAUAUUGAUAUAUUAAUGUGGAUAAUCACAAUACUAAAUUUUAGUACUGAAAUUAGUGAUACACGACCGAGUCGGGUCAUCGUGGUGCUGUAUUUCAGUAUUGAAGUCAGUACGGAAAUGUUAACAUGUAUAAUCAUAAUACUGAGUUUUAAUACCAAAAUCAGUGAUAUAGAACUGAGUGAGGUGUUAGUCGUGUUGUUUUUUUAUACUCAAAUCAAUACUGACAUAUUAACAUAGAUAGUCGCAAUACUGAAUUUUAUACCAAAAUUAGUGAUAUAAAACUGAGUCAGGUCAUCCUAGUGCUAUUUUUAGUAUUGAAAUCAGUAUUGAAAAAUUAACGUGAAGAAUCACAAUACUGAAUUCUAGUACCAAAAUUAGUGAUAUACAAGUUAGUCGGGUGAUCUCGUUUUGUAUUUCAGUACUGAAAUCAGUAUUGAAAUAUUAAGGUGGAUAAUGGCAAUACUGAAUUUCAGUACCGCAAUGAGUGAUAUAGAACAUAGUCGGGUCAUCUUGGUGAUCUAGUUCAGUAUUGAAAUCAGUACUGAAAUAUUAACGUGGAUAAUCAGAACACUGAAUUUCAGUACCGAAAUUAGUGAUAUACAAUCGAGUCGGGUCAUCAUGGUGCGGUUUUCAAUAUUAAAUAUUAACGUGGAUAAUCACAAUACUAAGUUUUAGUACUGAAAUUAGUGAUAUAGAACCGAGUCGGGUGUUAGUCAAGCUAUUUUUGAGUACUCAAAUUAUACUAAAAUAGUAACAUGGAUAAUCACAAUAGUAAAUUUAUACAGAAAUUAGUGAUAUAGAAGUUUGUCGGGUAAUCGUCGUUUUGUUUUUCAGUACUGUAAUCAGUAUUAAAGUGGAUAAUCGCAAUACUGAAUUUUAGUACCGAGAUGAGUGAUGUAAAACAUAGUCGGGUCAUCUUGGUGCUAUAUUUCAGUACUGAAAUCAAUGUUGAAAUAUUAAGGUGGAUAAUCACAAUACUGAAUUUUAGUACCGAAAUUAGAAAUUUACAACUCAGUGGGGUCUUCGUGGUGCUGUUUUUUCAGUAUUGAAAUAUUAACGUGGUUAAUCUCAAUGCUAUAUUUUAGUACCAAAAUUAGUGACAUAGAAUUGAGUCAUGCGUUCAUCCAGCUGUUUUUCAGUACUGAAAUCAAUACUGCAAUAUUUACAUGGAUAAUCGCAGUACCGAAUAUUAGUAACAAAUUUGUGAUAUAGAGCUAAGUCUUGUGAUCAUCGUUUUGUUUUUAAGUCUUGAAAUCAGUAUUGAAAUAUUAAGUGGAUAAUCGCAAUACUGAAUUAUAAUACCAAAAUUAGUGAUAUACAAGUGAGUGUGAUGAUCGUCAUUUUAUAUUUCAGUAUUGAAAUCAAUAUUGAUAAAUUAGUGUGGAUAAUCACAAUACUAAAUUUUAGUACUGAAAUUAGUAAUACACUACCGAGUCGGGUCAUCGUGGUGCUGUAUUUCAGUAUUGAAGUCAGUACGGAAAUGUUAACAUGUAUAAUCAUAAUACUGAGUUUUAAUACCAAAAUCAGUGAUAUAGAACUGAGUGAGGUGUUAGUCGUCCUAUUUUUUUGUACUCAAAUCAAUACUGACAUAUUAACAUAGAUAAUCCCAAUACUGAAUUUUAUACCGAAAUUAGUGAUAUAAAACUGAGUCAGGUCAUCCUAGUGCUAUUUUUAGUAUUGAAAUCAGUAUUGAAAAAUUAACCUGAAGAAUCACAAUACUGAAUUCUAGUACCAAAAUUAGUGAUAUACAAGUGAGUCGGGAUAUCUCGUUUUGUAUUUCAGUAUUGAAAUAUUAAAGUGGAUAAUCGCAAUACUGAAUUUCAGUACCGAAAUGAGUGAUAUAGAACAAAGUCGGGUUAUCUUGGUGAUCUAGUUUAGUAUUGAAAUCAGUACUGAAAUAUUAACGUGGAUAAUCAGAACACUGAAUUUUAGUACCGAAAAUAGUGAUAUACAAUCGACUCGGGUCAUCGUGGUGCGGUUUUCAAUAUUAAAUAUUAACGUGGAUAAUCACAAUACUAAGUUUUAGUACUGAAAUUAGUGAUAUAGAACCGAGUAAGGUGUUAAUCAAGCUAUUUUUGAGUACUCAAAUUAAUACUGAAAUACUAACAUGGAUAAUCACAAUAGUAAAAUUUAUACCAAAAUUAGUGAUAUAGAAGUGAGUCGGGUGAUCGUCGUUUUGUUUUUCAGUACUGAAAUCAGUAUUAAAGUAUUAAAGUGGAUAAUCGCAAUACUGAAUUUUAGUACCGAAAUGAGUGAUGUAAAACAUAGUCGAGUCAUGUUGGUGCUAUAUUUCAGUACUGAAAUCAAUAUUGAAAUAUUAAGGUGGAAAAUCACAAUACUGAAUUUUAGUACCGAAAUUAGAAAUUUACAACUCAGUCGGGUCAUCGUGGUGCUGUUUUUUCAGUAUCGAAAUAUUAACGUGGUUAAUCUCAAUGCUAUAUUUUAGUACCAAAAUUAGUGAUAUAGAAUUGAGUCAUGCGUUCAUCCAGCUGUUUUUCAGUACUGAAAUCAAUACUGCAAUAUUUACAUGGAUAAUCGCAGUACCGAAUAUUAGUAACAAAUUUGUGAUAUACAGCUAAGUCUCGUGAUCAUCGUUUCGUUUUUAAGUCUCGAAAUCAGUAUUGAAGUAUUAAGUGGAUAAUCGCAAUACUGAAUUUUAAAACCAAAAUUAGUGAUAUACAACUGAGAGUGAUAAUCGUGAUUUUAUAUUUCAGUAUUGAAAUCAAUAUUGAUAUAUUAAUGUGGAUAAUCACAAUACUAAAUUUUAGUACUAAAAUUAGUGAUACACGACCGAGUCGGGUCAUCGUGGUGCUGUAUUUCAGUAUUGAAGUCAGUACGGAAAUGUUAACAUGUAUAAUCAUAAUAUUGAGUUUUAAUACAAAAAUCAGUAAUAUAGAACUGAGUGAGGUGUUAGUCGUGCUAUUUUUUAUACUCAAAUCAAUACUGACAUAUUAACAUAGAUAAUCGCAAUACUGAAUUUUAUACCGAAAUUAGUGAUAUAAAACUGAGUCAGGUCAUCCUAGUGCUAUUUUUAGUAUUGAAAUCAGUAUUGAAAAACUAACGUGAAGAAUCACAAUACUGAAUUCUAGUACCAAAAUUAGUGAUAUACAAGUUAGUCGGGUGAUCUCGUUUUGUAUUUCAGUACUGAAAUCAGUAUUGAAAUGUUAAGGUGGAUAAUCGCAAUACUGAAUUUCAGUACCGAAAUGAGUGAUAUAGAACAUGGUCGGGUCAUCUUGGUGAUCUAGUUCAGUUUUGAAAUCAGUACUGAAAUAUUAACGUGGAUAAUCAGAACACUGAAUUUUAGUACCGAAAUUAGUGAUAUGCAAUCGAGUCGGGUCCUCGUGGUGCGGUUUUCAAUAUUAAAUAUUAACGUGGAUAAUCACAAUACUAAGUUUUAGUACUGAAAUUAGUGAUAUAGAACCGAGUCAGGUGUUAGUUAAGCUAUUUUUGAGUACUCAAAUUAAUACUGAAAUACUAACAUGGAUAAUCACCAUAGUAAAAUUUAUACCAAAAUUAGUGAUAUAGAAGUGAGUCGGGUGAUCGUCGUUUUGUUUUUAGUACUGAAAUCAGUAUUAAAGUAUUAAAGUGGAUAAUCGCAAUACUGAAUUUUAGUACCGAAAUGAGUGAUGUAACACAUAGUCGGGUCAUGUUGGUGCUAUAUUUCAGUACUGAAAUCAAUAUUGAAAUAUGAAGGUGGAUAAUCACAAUACUGAAUUUAGUACUGAAAUUAGAAAUUUACAACUAAGUCGGGUCAUCGUGGUGCUGUUUUUUCAGUAUCGAAAUAUUAACGUGGUUAAUCUCAAUGCUAUAUUUUAGUACCAAAAUUAGUGAUAUAGAAUUGAGUCAUGCGUUCAUCCAUCUAUUUUUCAGUACUGAAAUCAAUACUGCAAUAUUUACAUGGAUAAUCGCAGUACCGAAUAUUAGUAACAAAUUUGUGAUAUACAGCUAAGUCUCGUGAUCAUCGUUUUGUUUUUAAGUCUCGAAAUCAGUAUUGAAAUAUUAAGUGGAUAAUCGCAAUACUGAAUUUUAAAACCAAAAUUAGUGAUAUACAACUGAGUGUGAUGAUCGUCAUUUUAUAUUUCAGUAUUGAAAUCAAUAUUGAUAUAUUAAUGUGGAUAAUCACAAUACUAAAUUUUAGUACUGAAAUUAGUGAUACACGACCGAGUCGGGUCAUCGUGGUGCUGUAUUUCAGUAUUGAAGUCAGUACGGAAAUGUUAACAUGUAUAAUCAUAAUACUGAGUUUUAAUACCAAAAUCAGUGAUAUAGAACUGAGUGAGGUCUUAGUCGUGCUAUUUUUUUGUACUCAAAUCAAUACUGACAUAUUAACAUAGAUAAUCGCAAUACUGAAUUUUAUACCGAAAUUAAUGAUAUAAAACUCAGUUAGGUCAUCCUAGUGCUAUUUUUAGUAUCGAAAUCAGUAUUGAAAAAUUAACGUGAAGAAUCACAAUACUGAAUUCUAGUACAAAAAUUAGUGAUAUACAAGUGAGUCGGGUGAUCUCAUUUUGUAUUUCAGUACUGAAAUCAGUACUGAAAUCUUAAGGUGGAUAAUCGCAAUAUUGAAUUACAGUACCGAAAUGAGUGAUAUAGAACAUAGUCGGGUCAUCUUGGUGAUCUAGUUCAGUAUUGAAAUCAGUACUAAAAUAUUAACGUGGAUAAUCAGAACACUGAAUUUUAGUACCGAAAUUAGUGAUACACUAUCGAGUCGGGUCAUCGUGGUGCGUUUGCAAUAUUAAAUAUCAACGUGGAUAAUCACAAUACUAAGUUUUAGUACUGAAAUUAGUGAUAUAGAACCGAGUCAGGUGUUAGUCAAGCUAUUUUUGAGUACGCAAAUUAAUACUGAAAUACUAACAUGGAUAAUCACAAUAGUAAAAUUUAUACCAAAAUUAGUGAUAUAGAAGUGAGUCGGGUGAUCGUCGUUUUGUUUUUCAGUACUGAAAUCAGUAUUAAUGUAUUAAAGUGGAUAAUCGCAAUACUGAAUUUUAGUACCGAAAUGAGUGAUGUAAAACAUAGUCGGGUCAUGUUGGUGCUAUAUUUCAGUACUGAAAUCAAUAUUGAAAUAUUAAGGUGGAUAAUCACAAUACUGAAUUUUAGUACCGAAAUUAGAAAUUUACAACUCAGUCGGGUCAUCGUGGUGCUGUUUUUUCAGUAUCGAAAUGUUAACAUGUAUAAUCAUAAUACUGAGUUUUAAUACCAAAAUCAGUGAUAUCGAACUGAGUGAGGUGUUAGUCGUGCUAUUUUUUGUACUCAAAUCAAUACUGACAUAUUAACAUAGAUAAUCGCAAUACUGAAUUUUAUACCGAAAUUAGUGAUAUAAAACUGAGUCAGGUCAUCCUAGUGCUAUUUUUAGUAUUGAAAUCAGUAUUGAAAAAUUAACGUGAAGAAUCACAAUACUGAAUUCUAGUACCAAAAUUAGUGAUAUACAAGUGAGUCGGGUGAUCUCGUUUUGUAUUUCAGUACCAAAAUCAGUAUUGAAAUAUUAAGGUGGAUAAUCGCAAUACUGAAUUUCAGUACCGAAAUGAGUGAUAUAGAACAUAGUCGGGUCAUCUUGGUGAUCUAUGUCAGUAUUGAAAUCAGUACUGAAAUAUUAACGUGGAUAAUCAGAACACUGAAUUUUAGUACCGAAAUUAGUGAUAUACAAUCGAGUCGGGUCAUCGUGGUGCGGUUUUCAAUAUUAAAUAUUAGCGUGGAUAAUCACAAUACUAAGUUUUAGUACUGAAAUUAGUGAUAUAGAACCGAGUCAGGUGUUAGUCAAGCUAUUUUUUAGUACUCAAAUUAAUACUGAAAUACUAACAUGGAUAAUCACAAUAGUAAAAUUUAUACAGAAAUUAGUGAUAUAGAAGUGAGUCGGGUGAUCGUCGUUUUGUUUUUCAGUACUGAAAUUCUAUUAAAGUAUUAAAGUGGAUAAUCGCAAUACUGAAUUUUAGUACCGAAAUGAGUGAUGUAAAACAUAGUCGGGUCAUCUUGGUGCUAUAUUUCAGUACUAAAAUCAAUAUUGAAUUAUUAAGGCGGAUAAUCACAAUACUGAAUUUUAGUACCGAAAUUAGAAAUUUACAACUCAGUGGGGUCUUCGUGGUGCUGUUUUUUCAGUAUUGAAAUAUUAACGUGGUUAAUCUCAAUGCUAUAUUUUAGUACCAAAAUUAGUGAUAUAGAAAUGAGUCAUGCGUUCAUCCAGCUGUUUUUCAGUACUGAAAUCAAUACUGCAAUAUUUACAUGCAUAAUCGCAGUACCGAAUAUUAGUAACAAAUUUGUGAUAUACAGCUAAGUCUCGUGAUCAUCGUUUCGUUUUUAAGUCUCGAAAUCAGUAUUGAAAUAUUAAGUGGAUAAUCGCAAUACUGAAUUUUAAAACCAAAAUUAGUGAUAUACAACUGAGUGUGAUAAUCGUCAUUUUAUAUUUCAGUAUUGAAAUCAAUAUUGAUAUAUUAAUGGGGAUAAUCACAAUACUAAAUUUUAGUACUAAAAUUAGUGAUACACGACCGAGUCGGGUCAUCGUGGUGCUGUAUUUCAGUAUUGAAGUCAGUACGGAAAUGUUAACAUGUAUAAUCAUAAUAUUGAGUUUUAAUACCAAAAUCAGUAAUAUAGAACUGAGUGAGGUGUUAGUCGUGCUAUUUUUUAUACUCAAAUCAAUACUGACAUAUUAACAUAGAUAAUCGCAAUACUGAAUUUUAUACCGAAAUUAGUGAUAUAAAACUGAGUCAGGUCAUCCUAGUGCUAUUUUUAGUAUGGAAAUCAGUAUUGAAAAACUAACGUGAAGAAUCACAAUACUGAAUUCUAGUACCAAAAUUAGUGAUAUACAAGUUAGUCGGGUGAUCUCGUUUUGUAUUUCAGUACUGAAAUCAGUAUUGAAAUGUUAAGGUGGAUAAUCGCAAUACUGAAUUUCAGUACCGAAAUGAGUGAUAUAGAACAUGGUCGGGUCAUCUUGGUGAUCUAGUUCAGUUUUGAAAUCAGUACUGAAAUAUUAACGUGGAUAAUCAGAACACUGAAUUUUAGUACCGAAAUUAGUGAUAUGCAAUCGAGUCGGGUCCUCGUGGUGCGGUUUUCAAUAUUAAAUAUUAACGUGGAUAAUCACAAUGCUAAGUUUUAGUACUGAAAUUAGUGAUAUAGAACCGAGUCAGGUGUUAGUUAAGCUAUUUUUGAGUACUCAAAUUAAUACUGAAAUACUAACAUGGAUAAUCACCAUAGUAAAAUUUAUACCAAAAUUAGUGAUAUAGAAGUGAGUCGGGUGAUCGUCGUUUUGUUUUUAGUACUGAAAUCAGUAUUAAAGUAUUAAAGUGGAUAAUCGCAAUACUGAAUUUUAGUACCGAAAUGAGUGAUGUAACACAUAGUCGGGUCAUGUUGGUGCUAUAUUUCAGUACUGAAAUCAAUAUUGAAAUAUGAAGGUGGAUAAUCACAAUACUGAAUUUAGUACUGAAAUUAGAAAUUUACAACUAAGUCGGGUCAUCGUGGUGCUGUUUUUUCAGUAUCGAAAUAUUAACGUGGUUAAUCUCAAUGCUAUAUUUUAGUACCAAAAUUAGUGAUAUAGAAUUGAGUCAUGCGUUCAUCCAUCUAUUUUUCAGUACUGAAAUCAAUACUGCAAUAUUUACAUGGAUAAUCGCAGUACCGAAUAUUAGUAACAAAUUUGUGAUAUACAGCUAAGUCUCGUGAUCAUCGUUUUGUUUUUAAGUCUCGAAAUCAGUAUUGAAAUAUUAAGUGGAUAAUCGCAAUACUGAAUUUUAAAACCAAAAUUAGUGAUAUACAACUGAGUGUGAUGAUCGUCAUUUUAUAUUUCAGUAUUGAAAUCAAUAUUGAUAUAUUAAUGUGGAUAAUCACAAUACUAAAUUUUAGUACUGAAAUUAGUGAUACACGACCGAGUCGAGUCAUCGUGGUGCUGUAUUUCAGUAUUGAAGUCAGUACGGAAAUGUUAACAUGUAUAAUCAUAAUACUGAGUUUUAAUACCAAAAUCAGUGAUAUAGAACUGAGUGAGGUCUUAGUCGUGCUAUUUUUUUGUACUCAAAUCAAUACUGACAUAUUAACAUAGAUAAUCGCAAUACUGAAUUUUAUACCGAAAUUAGUGAUAUAAAACUCAGUUAGGUCAUCCUAGUGCUAUUUUUAGUAUCGAAAUCAGUAUUGAAAAAUUAACGUGAAGAAUCACAAUACUGAAUUCUAGUACAAAAAUUAGUGAUAUACAAGUGAGUCGGGUGAUCUCGUUUUGUAUUUCAGUACUGAAAUCAGUACUGAAAUCUUAAGGUGGAUAAUCGCAAUAUUGAAUUACAGUACCGAAAUGAGUGAUAUAGAACAUAGUCGGGUCAUCUUGGUGAUCUAGUUCAGUAUUGAAAUCAGUACUAAAAUAUUAACGUGGAUAAUCAGAACACUGAAUUUUAGUACCGAAAUUAGUGAUACACUAUCGAGUCGGGUCAUCGUGGUGCGUUUGCAAUAUUAAAUAUCAACGUGGAUAAUCACAAUACUAAGUUUUAGUACUGAAAUUAGUGAUAUAGAACCGAGUCAGGUGUUAGUCAAGCUAUUUUUGAGUACGCAAAUUAAUACUGAAAUACUAACAUGGAUAAUCACAAUAGUAAAAUUUAUACCAAAAUUAGUGAUAUAGAAGUGAGUCGGGUGAUCGUCGUUUUGUUUUUCAGUACUGAAAUCAGUAUUAAUGUAUUAAAGUGGAUAAUCGCAAUACUGAAUUUUAGUACCGAAAUGAGUGAUGUAAAACAUAGUCGGGUCAUGUUGGUGCUAUAUUUCAGUACUGAAAUCAAUAUUGAAAUAUUAAGGUGGAUAAUCACAAUACUGAAUUUUAGUACCGAAAUUAGAAAUUUACAACUCAGUCGGGUCAUCGUGGUGCUGUUUUUUCAGUAUCGAAAUGUUAACAUGUAUAAUCAUAAUACUGAGUUUUAAUACCAAAAUCAGUGAUAUCGAACUGAGUGAGGUGUUAGUCGUGCUAUUUUUUNNNNNNNNNNNNNNNNNNNNNNNNNNNNNNNNNNNNNNNNNNNNNNNNNNNNNNNNNNNNNNNNNNNNNNNNNNNNNNNNNNNNNNNNNNNNNNNNNNNNNNNNNNNNNNNNNNNNNNNNNNNNNNNNNNNNNNNNNNNNNNNNNNNNNNNNNNNNNNNNNNNNNNNNNNNNNNNNNNNNNNNNNNNNNNNNNNNNNNNNNNNNNNNNNNNNNNNNNNNNNNNNNNNNNUGAUAUACAGCUAAGUCUCGUGAUCAUCGUUUCGUUUUUAUGUCUUGAAAUAAGUAUUGAAAUAUUAAGUGGAUAAUCGCAAUACUGAAUUUUAAAACCAAAAUUAGUGAUAUACAACUGAGUGUGAUAAUCGUCAUUUUAUAUUUCAGUAUUGAAAUCAAUAUUGAUAUAUUAAUGUGGAUAAUCACAAUACUAAAUUUUAGUACUAAAAUUAGUGAUACACGACCGAGUCGGGUCAUCGUGGUGCUGUAUUUCAGUAUUGAAGUCAGUACGGAAAUGUUAACAUGUAUAAUCAUAAUACUGAGUUUUAAUACCAAAAUCAGUGAUAUAGAACUGAGUGAGGUGUUAGUCGUGCUAUUUUUUGUACUCAAAGCAAUACUAACAUAUUAACAUAGAUAAUCGCAAUACUGAAUUUUAUACCAAAAUUAGUGAUAUAAAACUGAGUCAGGUCAUCCUAGUGCUAUUUUUAGUAUUGAAAUCAGUAUUGAAAAAAUAACGUGAAGAAUCACAAUACUGAAUUCUAGUACCAAAAUUAGUGAUAUACAAGUUAGUCGGGUGAUCUCGUUUUGUAUUUCAGUACUGAAAUCAGUAUUGAAAUGUUAAGGUGGAUAAUCGCAAUACAGAAUUUUAGUACCGAAGUGAGUGAUGUAAAACAUAGUCGGGUCAUCUUGGUGCUAUAUUUCAGUACUGAAAUCAAUAUUGAAAUAUUAAGGUGGAUAAUCACCAUACCGAAUUUUAGUAUCGAAAUUAGAAAUUUACAACUCAGUCGGGUCAUCGUGGUGCCGUUUUUUCAAUAUUGAAAUAUUAACGCGGUUAAUCUCAAUGCUAUAUUUUAGUACCAAAAUUAGUGAUAUAGAAUUGAGUGAGGCGUUCAUCCAGCUGUUUUUCAGUACUGAAAUCAAUACUGCAAUAUUUACAUGGAUAAUCGCAGUACCGAAUAUUAGUAACAAAUUUGUGAUAUACAGCUAAGUCUCGUGAUCAUCGUUUCGUUUUUAUGUCUUGAAAUAAGUAUUGAAAUAUUAAGUGGAUAAUCGCAAUACUGAAUUUUAAAACCAAAAUUAGUGAUAUACAACUGAGUGUGAUAAUCGUCAUUUUAUAUUUCAGUAUUGAAAUCAAUAUUGAUAUAUUAAUGUGGAUAAUCACAAUACUAAAUUUUAGUACUAAAAUUAGUGAUACACGACCGAGUCGGGUCAUCGUGGUGCUGUAUUUCAGUAUUGAAGUCAGUACGGAAAUGUUAACAUGUAUAAUCAUAAUACUGAGUUUUAAUACCAAAAUCAGUGAUAUAGAACUGAGUGAGGUGUUAGUCGUGCUAUUUUUUGUACUCAAAGCAAUACUAACAUAUUAACAUAGAUAAUCGCAAUACUGAAUUUUAUACCAAAAUUAGUGAUAUAAAACUGAGUCAGGUCAUCCUAGUGCUAUUUUUAGUAUUGAAAUCAGUAUUGAAAAAUUAACGUGAAGAAUCACAAUACUGAAUUCUAGUACCAAAAUUAGUGAUAUACAAGUUAGUCGGGUGAUCUCGUUUUGUAUUUCAGUACGGAAAUCAGUAUUGAAAUGUUAAGGUGGAUAAUCGCAAUACAGAAUUUUAGUACCGAUAUGAGUGAUGUAAAACAUAGUCGGGUCAUCUUGGUGCUAUAUUUCAGUACUGAAAUCAAUAUUGAAAUAUUAAGGUGGAUAAUCACCAUACUGAAUUUUAGUAUCGAAAUUAGAAAUUUACAACUCAGUCGGGUCAUCGUGGUGCUGUUUUUUCAGUAUUGAAAUAUUAACGUGGUUAAUCUCAAUGCUAUAUUUUAGUACCAAAAUUAGUGAUAUAGAAUUGAGUGAGGCGUUCAUCCAGCUGUUUUUCAGUACUGAAAUCAAUACUGCAAUAUUUACAUGGAUAAUCGCAGUACCGAAUAUUAGUAACAAAUUUGUGAUAUACAGCUAAGUCUCGUGAUCAUCGUUUCGUUUUUAUGUCUUGAAAUUAGUAUUGAAAUAUUAAGUGGAUAAUCGCAAUACUGAAUUUUAAAACCAAAAUUAGUGAUAUACAACUGAGUGUGAUAAUCGUCAUUUUAUAUUUCAGUAUUGAAAUCAAUAUUGAUAUAUUAAUGUGGAUAAUCACAAUACUAAAUUUUAGUACUAAAAUUAGUGAUACACGACCGAGUCGGGUCAUCGUGGUGCUGUAUUUCAGUAUUGAAGUCAGUACGGAAAUUUUAACAUGUAUAAUCAUAAUACUGAGUUUUAAUACCAAAAUCAGUGAUAUAGAACUGAGUGAGGUGUUAGUCGUGCUAUUUUUUGUACUCAAAGCAAUACUAACAUAUUAACAUAGAUAAUCGCAAUACUGAAUUUUAUACCAAAAUUAGUGAUAUAAAACUGAGUCAGGUCAUCCUAGUGCUAUUUUUAGUAUUGAAAUCAGUAUUGAAAAAUUAACGUGAAGAAUCACAAUACUGAAUUCUAGUACCAAAAUUAGUGAUAUACAAGUUAGUCGGGUGAUCUCGUUUUGUAUUUCAGUACGGAAAUCAGUAUUGAAAUGUUAAGGUGGAUAAUCGCAAUACAGAAUUUUAGUACCGAUAUGAGUGAUGUAAAACAUAGUCGGGUCAUCUUGGUGCUAUAUUUCAGUACUGAAAUCAAUAUUGAAAUAUUAAGGUGGAUAAUCACCAUACUGAAUUUUAGUAUCGAAAUUAGAAAUUUACAACUCAGUCGGGUCAUCGUGGUGCUGUUUUUUCAGUAUUGAAAUAUUAACGUGGUUAAUCUCAAUGCUAUAUUUUAGUACCAAAAUUAGUGAUAUAGAAUUGAGUGAGGCGUUCAUCCAGCUGUUUUUCAGUACUGAAAUCAAUACUGCAAUAUUUACAUGGAUAAUCGCAGUACCGAAUAUUAGUAACAAAUUUGUGAUAUACAGCUAAGUCUCGUGAUCAUCGUUUCGUUUUUAUGUCUUGAAAUUAGUAUUGAAAUAUUAAGUGGAUAAUCGCAAUACUGAAUUUUAAAACCAAAAUUAGUGAUAUACAACUGAGUGUGAUAAUCGUCAUUUUAUAUUUCAGUAUUGAAAUCAAUAUUGAUAUAUUAAUGUGGAUAAUCACAAUACUAAAUUUUAGUACUAAAAUUAGUGAUACACGACCGAGUCGGGUCAUCGUGGUGCUGUAUUUCAGUAUUGAAGUCAGUACGGAAAUGUUAACAUGUAUAAUCAUAAUACUGAGUUUUAAUACCAAAAUCAGUGAUAUAGAACUGAGUGAGGUGUUAGUCGUGCUAUUUUUUGUACUCAAAGCAAUACUAACAUAUUAACAUAGAUAAUCGCAAUACUGAAUUUUAUACCAAAAUUAGUGAUAUAAAACUGAGUCAGGUCAUCCUAGUGCUAUUUUUAGUAUUGAAAUCAGUAUUGAAAAAUUAACGUGAAGAAUCACAAUACUGAAUUCUAGUACCAAAAUUAGUGAUAUACAAGUUAGUCGGGUGAUCUCGUUUUGUAUUUCGGUACUGAAAUCAGUAUUGAAAUGUUAAGGUGGAUAAUCGCAAUACAGAAUUUUAGUACCGAAAUGAGUGAUGUAAAACAUAGUCGGGUCAUCUUGGUGCUAUAUUUCAGUACUGAAAUCAAUAUUGAAAUAUUAAGGUGGAUAAUCACCAUACUGAAUUUUAGUAUCGAAAUUAGAAAUUUACAACUCAGUCGGGUCAUCGUGGUGCUAUUUUUUCAGUAUUGAAAUAUUAACGCGGUUAAUCUCAAUGCUAUAUUUUAGUACCAAAAUUAGUGAUAUAGAAUUGAGUGAGGCGUUCAUCCAGCUGUUUUUCAGUACUGAAAUCAAUACUGCAAUAUUUACAUGGAUAAUCGCAGUACCGAAUAUUAGUAACAAAUUUCUGAUAUACAGCUAAGUCUCGUGAUCAUCGUUUCGUUUUUAUGUCUUGAAAUAAGUAUUGAAAUAUUAAGUGGAUAAUCGCAAUACUGAAUUUUAAAACCAAAAUUAGUGAUAUACAACUGAGUGUGAUAAUCGUCAUUUUAUAUUUCAGUAUUGAAAUCAAUAUUGAUAUAUUAAUGUGGAUAAUCACAAUACUAAAUUUUAGUACUAAAAUUAGUGAUACACGACCGAGUCGGGUCAUCGUGGUGCUGUAUUUCAGUAUUGAAGUCAGUACGGAAAUGUUAACAUGUAUAAUCAUAAUACUGAGUUUUAAUACCAAAAUCAGUGAUAUAGAACUGAGUGAGGUUUAGUCGUGCAAUUUUUUUAUACUCAAAUCAAUACUGACAUAUUAACAUCGAUAAUCGCAAUACUGAAUUUUAUACCGAAAUUAGUGAUAUAAAACUGAGUCAGGUCAUCCUAGUGCUAUUUUUAGUAUUGAAAUCAGUAUUGAAAAAUUAACGUGAAGAAUCACAAUACUGAAUUCUAGUACCAAAAUUAGUGAUAUACAAGUGAGUCGGGUGAUCUCGCUUUGUAUUUCAGUACUGAAAUCAGUAUUGAAAUAUUAAGGUGGAUAAUCACAAUACUGAAUUUCAGUACCGAAAUGAGUUUUAUAGAACAUAGUCGGGUCAUCUUGGUGAUCUAGUUCAGUAUUGAAAUCAGUACUGAAAUAUUAACGUGGAUAAUCAAAACACUGAAUUUUAGUACCGAAAUUAGUGAUAUACAAUCGAGUCGGGUCAUCGUGGUGCGGUUUUCAAUAUUAAAUAUUAACGUGGAUAAUCACAAUACUAAGCUUUAGUACUGAAAUUAGUAAUAUAGAACCGAGUCAGGUGUUAGUCAAGCUAUUUUUGAGUACUCAAAUUAAUACUGAAAUACUAACAUGGAUAAUCACAAUAGUAAAAUUUAUACCGAAAUUAGUGAUAUAGUUGUGAGUCGGGCGAUCGUCGUUUUGUUUUUCAGUACUGAAAUCAGUAUUAAAGUAUUCAAGUGGAUAAUCGCAAUACCGAAUUUUAGUACCGAAAUGAGUGAUGUAAAACAUAGUCGGCUCAUCUUGGUGCUAUAGUUCAGUACUGAAGUCAAUAUUGAAAUAUUAAGGUGGAUAAUCACAAUACUGAAUUUUAGUACCGAAAUUAGAAAUUUACAACUCAGUCGGGUCAUCGUGGUGCUGUUUUUUCAGUAUUGAAAUAUUAAUGUGGUUAAUCUCAAUGCUAUAUUUUAGUACCAAAAUUAGUGAUAUAGAAUUGAGUCAUGCGUUCAUCCAGCUAUUUUUCAGUACUGAAAUCAAUACUGCAAUAUUUACAUGGAUAAUCGCAGUACCGAAUAUUAGUAACAAAUUUGUGAUAUACAGCUAAGUCUCGUGAUCAUCGUUUCGUUUUUAAGUCUUGAAAUCAGUAUUGAAAUAUUAAGUGGAUAAUCGCAAUACUGAAUUUUAAAACCAAAAUUAGUGAUAUACAACUGAGUGUGAUGAUCGUCAUUUUAUAUUUCAGUAUUGAAAUCAAUAUUGAUAUAUUAAUGUGGAUAAUCACAAUACUAAAUUUUAGUACUGAAAUUAGUGAUACACGACCGAGUCGGGUCAUCGUGGUGCUGUAUUUCAGUAUUGAAGUCAGUACGGAAAUGUUAACAUGUAUAAUCAUAAUACUGAGUUUUAAUACCAAAAUCAGUGAUAUAGAACUGAGUGAGGUGUUAGUCGUGCUGUUUUUUUAUACUCAAAUCAAUACUGACAUAUUAACAUAGAUAGUCGGAAUACUGAAUUUUAUACCGAAAUUAGUGAUAUAAAACUGAGUCAGGUCAUCCUAGUGCUAUUUUUAGUAUUGAAAUCAGUAUUGAAAAACUAACGUGAAGAAUCACAAUACUAAAUUCUAGUACCAAAAUUAGUGAUAUACAAGUUAGUCGGGUGAUCUCGUUUUGUAUUUCAGUACUGAAAUCAGUAUUGAAAUAUGAAGGUGGAUAAUGGCAAUACUGAAUUUCAGUACCGCAAUGAGUGAUAUAGAACAUAGUCGGGUCAUCUUGGUGAUCUAGUUCAGUAUUGAAAUCAGUACUGAAAUAUUAACGUGGAUAAUCAGAACACUGAAUUUUAGUACCGAAAUUAGUGAUAUACAAUCGAGUCGGGUCAUCGUGGUGCGGUUUUCAAUAUUAAAUAUUAACGUGGAUAAUCACAAUACUAAGCUUUAGUACUGAAAUUAGUAAUAUAGAACCGAGUCAGGUGUUAGUCAAGCUAUUUUUGAGUACUCAAAUUAAUACUGAAAUACUAACAUGGAUAAUCACAAUAGUAAAAUUUAUACCGACAUUAGUGAUAUAGUUGUGAGUCGGGCGAUCGUCGUUUUGUUUUUCAGUACUGAAAUCAGUAUUAAAGUAUUCAAGUGGAUAAUCGCAAUACCGAAUUUUAGUACCGAAAUGAGUGAUGUAAAACAUAGUCGGGUCAUCUUGGUGCUAUAUUUCAGUACUGAAAUCAAUAUUGAAAUAUUAAGGUGGAUAAUCACAAUACUGAAUUUUAGUACCGAAAUUAGAAAUUUACAACUCAGUCGGGUCAUCGUGGUGCUGUUUUUCAGUAUUGAAAUAUUAACGUGGUUAAUCUCAAUGCUAUAUUUUAGUACCAAAAUUAGUGAUAUAGAAUUGAGUCAUGCGUUCAUCCAGCUGUUUUUCAGUACUGAAAUCAAUACUGCAAUAUUUACAUGGAUAAUCGCAGUACCGAAUAUUAGUAACAAAUUUGUGAUAUACAGCUAAGUCUCGUGAUCAUCGUUUCGUUUUUAAGUCUUGAAAUCAGUAUUGAAAUAUUAAGUGGAUAAUCGCAAUACUGAAUUUUAAAACCAAAAUUAGUGAUAUACAACUGAGUGUGAUGAUCGUCAUUUUAUAUUUCAGUAUUGAAAUCAAUAUUGAUAUAUUAAUGUGGAUAAUCACAAUACUAAAUUUUAGUACUUAAAUUAGUGAUACACGACCGAGUCGGGUCAUCGUGUUGCUGUAUUUCAGUAUUGAAGUCAGUACGGAAAUGUUAACAUGUAUAAUCAUAAUACUGAGUUUUAAUACCAAAAUCAGUGAUAUAGAACUGAGUGAGGUGUUAGUCGUGCUGUUUUUUUAUACUCAAAUCAAUACUGACAUAUUAAAAUAGAUAGUCGCAAUACUGAAUUUUAUACCAAAAUUAGUGAUAUAAAACUGAGUCAGGUCAUCCUAGUGCUAUUUUUAGUAUUGAAAUCAGUAUUGAAAAAUUAACGUGAAGAAUCACAAUACUGAAUUCUAGUACCAAAAUUAGUGAUAUACAAGUUAGUCGGGUGAUCUCGUUUUGUAUUUCAGUACUGAAAUCAGUAUUGAAAUAUUAAGGUGGAUAAUGGCAAUACUGAAUUUCAGUACCGCAAUGAGUGAUAUAGAACAUAGUCGGGUCAUCUUGGUGAUCUAGUUCAGUAUUGAAAUCAGUACUGAAAUAUUAACGUGGAUAAUCAGAACACUGAAUUUUAGUACCGAAAUUAGUGAUAUACAAUCGAGUCGGGUCAUCGUGGUGCGGUUUUCAAUAUUAAAUAUUAACGUGGAUAAUCACAAUACUAAGUUUUAGUACUGAAAUUAGUGAUAUAGAACCGAGUCGGGUGUUAGUCAAGCUAUUUUUGAGUACUCAAAUUAUACUGAAAUAGUAACAUGGAUAAUCACAAUAGUAAAUUUAUACAUAAAUUAGUGAUAUAGAAGUUUGUCGGGUAAUCGUCGUUUUGUUUUUCAGUACUGAAAUCAGUAUUAAAGAGGAUAAUCGCAAUACUGAAUUUUAGUACCGAGAUGAGUGAUGUGAAACAUAGUCGGGUCAUCUUGGUGCUAUAUUUCAGUACUGAAAUCAAUGUUGAAAUAUUAAGGUGGAUAAUCACAAUACUGAAUUUUAGUACCGAAAUUAGAAAUUUACAACUCAGUGGGGUCUUCGUGGUGCUGUUUUUUCAGUAUUGAAAUAUUAACGUGGUUAAUCUCAAUGCUAUAUUUUAGUACCAAAAUUAGUGACAUAGAAUUGAGUCAUGCGUUCAUCCAGCUGUUUUUCAGUACUGAAAUCAAUACUGCAAUAUUUACAUGGAUAAUCGCAGUACCGAAUAUUAGUAACAAAUUUGUGAUAUAGAGCUAAGUCUUGUGAUCAUCGUUUUGUUUUUAAGUCUUGAAAUCAGUAUUGAAAUACUAGCAUGGAUAAUCACAAUAGUAAAAUUUAUACCGAAAUUAGUGAUAUACAAGUGAGUGUGAUGAUCGUCAUUUUAUAUUUCAGUAUUGAAAUCAAUAUUGAUAUAUUAGUGUGGAUAAUCACAAUACUAAAUUUUAGUACUGAAAUUACUGAUACACUACCGAGUCGGGUCAUCGUGGUGCUGUAUUUCAGUAUUGAAGUCAGUACGGAAAUGUUAACAUGUAUAAUCAUAAUACUGAGUUUUAAUACCAAAAUCAGUGAUAUAGAACUAAGUGAGGUGUUAGUCGUCCUAUUUUUUUGUACUCAAAUCAAUACUGACAUAUUAACAUAGAUAAUCCCAAUACUGAAUUUUAUACCGAAAUUAGUGAUAUAAAACUGAGUCAGGUCAUCCUAGUGCUAUUUUUAGUAUUGAAAUCAGUAUUGAAAAAUUAACGUGAAGAAUCACAAUACUGAAUUCUAGUACCAAAAUUAGUGAUAUACAAGUGAGUCGGGAUAUCUCGUUUUGUAUUUCAGUAUUGAAAUAUUAAAGUGGAUAAUCGCAAUACUGAAUUUCAGUACCGAAAUGAGUGAUAUAGAACAUAGUCGGGUUAUCUUGGUGAUCUAGUUUAGUAUUGAAAUCAGUACUGAAAUAUUAACGUGGAUAAUCAGAACACUGAAUUUUAGUACCGAAAAUAGUGAUAUACAAUCGAGUCGGGUCAUCGUGGUGCGGUUUUCAAUAUUAAAUAUUAACGUGGAAAUCACAAUACUAAGUUUUAGUACUGAAAUUAGUGAUAUAGAACCGAGUCAGGUGUUAAUCAAGCUAUUUUUGAGUACUCAAAUUAAUACUGAAAUACUAGCAUGGAUAAUCACAGUAAAAUUUAUACCAAAAUUAGUGAUAUAGAAGUGAGUCGGGUGAUCGUCGUUUUGUUUUUCAGUACUGAAAUCAGUAUUAAAGUAUUAAAGUGGAUAAUCGCAAUACUGAAUUUUAGUACCGAAAUGAGUGAUGUAAAACAUAGUUGAGUCAUGUUGGUGCUAUAUUUCAGUACUGAAAUCAAUAUUGAAAUAUUAAGGUGGAAAAUCACAAUACUGAAUUUUAGUACCGAAAUUAGAAAUUUACAACUCAGUCGGGUCAUCGUGGUGCUGUUUUUUCAGUAUCGAAAUAUUAACGUGGUUAAUAUCAAUGCUAUAUUUUAGUACCAAAAUUAGUGAUAUAGAAUUGAGUCAUGCGUUCAUCCAGCUGUUUUUCAGUACUGAAAUCAAUACUGCGAUAUUUACAUGGAUAAUCGCAGUACCGAAUAUUAGUAACAAAUUUGUGAUAUACAGCUAAGUCUCGUGAUCAUCGUUUCGUUUUUAAGUCUCGAAAUCAGUAUUGAAAUAUUAAGUGGAUAAUCGCAAUACUGAAUUUUAAAACCAAAAUUAGUGAUAUACAACUGAGUGUGAUAAUCGUCAUUUUAUAUUUCAGUAUUGAAAUCAAUAUUGAUAUAUUAAUGUGGAUAAUCACAAUACUAAAUUUUAGUACUAAAAUUAGAGAUACACGACCGAGUCGGGUCAUCGUGGUGCUGUAUUUCAGUAUUGAAGUCAGUACGGAAAUGUUAACAUGUAUAAUCAUAAUAUUGAGUUUUAAUACCAAAAUCAGUAAUAUAGAACUGAGUGAGGUGUUAGUCGUGCUAUUUUUUAUACUCAAAUCAAUACUGACAUAUUAACAUAGAUAAUCGCAAUACUGAAGUUUAUACCGAAAUUAGUGAUAUAAAACUGAGUCAGGUCAUCCUAGUGCUAUUUUUAGUAUUGAAAUCAGUAUUGAAAAACUAACGUGAAGAAUCACAAUACUGAAUUCUAGUACCAAAAUUAGUGAUAUACAAGUUAGUCGGGUGAUCUCGUUUUGUAUUUCAGUACUGAAAUCAGUAUUGAAAUGUUAAGGUGGAUAAUCGCAAUACUGAAUUUCAGUACCGAAAUGAGUGAUAUAGAACAUAGUCGGGUCAUCUUGGUGAUCUAGUUCAGUUUUGAAAUCAGUACUGAAAUAUUAACGUGGAUAAUCAGAACACUGAAUUUUAGUACCGAAAUUAGUGAUAUGCAAUCGAGUCGGGUCCUCGUGGUGCGGUUUUCAAUAUUAAAUAUUAACGUGGAUAAUCACAAUACUAAGUUUUAGUACUGAAAUUAGUGAUAUAGAACCGAGUCAGGUGUUAGUCAAGCUAUUUUUGAGUACUCAAAUUAAUACUGAAAUACUAACAUGGAUAAUCACCAUAGUAAAAUUUAUACCAAAAUUAGUGAUAUAGAAGUGAGUCGGGUGAUCGUCGUUUUGUUUUUAGUACUGAAAUCAGUAUUAAAGUAUUAAAGUGGAUAAUCGCAAUACUGAAUUUUAGUACCGAAAUGAGUGAUGUAACACAUAGUCGGGUCAUGUUGGUGCUAUAUUUCAUUACUGAAAUCAAUAUUGAAAUAUUAAGGUGGAUAAUCACAAUACUGAAUUUAGUACCGAAAUUAGAAAUUUACAACUAAGUCGGGUCAUCGUGGUGCUGUUUUUUCGGUAUCGAAAUAUUAACGUGGUUAAUCUCAAUGCUAUAUUUUAGUACCAAAAUUAGUGAUAUAGAAUUGAGUCAUGCGUUCAUCCAGCUAUUUUUCAGUACUGAAAUCAAUACUGCAAUAUUUACAUGGAUAAUCGCAGUACCGAAUAUUAGUAACAAAUUUGUGAUAUACAGCUAAGUCUCGUGAUCAUCGUUUUGUUUUUAAGUCUCGAAAUCAGUAUUGAAAUAUUAAGUGGAUAAUCGCAAUACUGAAUUUUAAAACCAAAAUUAGUGAUAUACAACUGAGUGUGAUGAUCGUCAUUUUAUAUUUCAGUAUUGAAAUCAAUAUUGAUAUAUUAAUGUGGAUAAUCACAAUAUUAAAUUUUAGUACUGAAAUUAGUGAUACACGACCGAGUCGGGUCAUCGUGGUGCUGUAUUUCAGUAUUGAAGUCAGUACGGAAAUGUUAACAUGUAUAAUCAUAAUACUGAGUUUUAAUACCAAAAUCAGUGAUAUAGAACUGAGUGAGGUGUUAGUCGUGCUAUUUUUUUGUACUCAAAUCAAUACUGACAUAUUAACAUAGAUAAUCGCAAUACUGAAUUUUAUACCGAAAUUAGUGAUAUAAAACUGAGUCAGGUCAUCCUAGUGCUAUUUUUAGUAUCGAAAUCAGUAUUGAAAAAUUAACGUGAAGAAUCACAAUACUGAAUUCUAGUACAAAAAUUAGUGAUAUACAAGUGAGUCGGGUGAUCUCGUUUUGUAUUUCAGUACUGAAAUCAGUACUGAAAUCUUAAGGUGGAUAAUCGCAAUAUUGAAUUACAGUACCGAAAUGAGUGAUAUAGAACAUAGUCGGGUCAUCUUGGUGAUCUAGUUCAGUAUUGAAAUCAGUACUGAAAUAUUAACGUGGAUAAUCAGAACACUGAAUUUUAGUACCGAAAUUAGUGAUACACAAUCGAGUCGGGUCAUCGUGGUGCGUUUGCAAUAUUAAAUAUUAACGUGGAUAAUCACAAUACUAAGUUUUAGUACUGAAAUUAGUGAUAUAGAACCGAGUCAGGUGUUAGUCAAGCUAUUUUUGAGUACGCAAAUUAAUACUGAAAUACUAACAUGGAUAAUCACAAUAGUAAAAUUUAUACCAAAAUUAGUGAUAUAGAAGUGAGUCGGGUGAUCGUCGUUUUGUUUUUCACUACUGAAAUCAGUAUUAAAGUAUUAAAGUUGAUAAUCGCAAUACUAAAUUUUAGUACCGAAAUGAGUGAUGUAAAACAUAGUCGGGUCAUGUUGGUGCUAUAUUUCAUUACUGAAAUCAAUAUUGAAAUAUUAAGGUGGAUAAUCACAAUACUGAAUUUUAGUACCGAAAUUAGAAAUUUACAACUCAGUCGGGUCAUCUUGGUGCUGUUUUUUCAGUAUCGAAAUACUAACGUGGUUAAUCUCAAUGCUAUAUUUUAGUACCAAAAUUAGUGAUAUAGAAUUGAGUCAUGCGUUCAUCCAGCCGUUUUUCAGUACUGAAAUCAAUACUGCAAUAUUUACAUGGAUAAUCGCAGUACCGAAUAUUAGUAACAAAUUUGUGAUAUACAGCUAAGUCUCGUGAUCAUCGUUUCGAUUUUAAGUCUUGAAAUCAGUAUUGAAAUAUUAAGUGGAUAAUCGCAAUACUGAAUUUUAGUACCAAAAUUAGUGAUAUACAACUGAGUGUGAUGAUCGUCAUUUCAUAUUUCAGUAUUGAAAUCAAUAUUGACAUAUUAAUGUGGAUAAUCACAAUACUAAAUUUCAGUACUGAAAUUAGUGAUACACGACCGAGUCAGGUCAUCGUGGUGCUGUAUUUCAGUAUUGAAGUCAGUACGGAAAUGUUAACAUGUAUAAUCAUAAUACUGAGUUAUAAUACCGAAAUCAGUGAUAUAGAACUGAGUGAGGUGUUAGUCGUGCUAUUUUUUUGUACUCAAAUCAAUACUGACAUAUUAACAUAGAUAAUCGCAAUACUGAAUUUUAUACCGAAAUUAAUGAUAUAAAACUGAGUCAGGUCAUCCUAGUGCUAUUUUUAGUAUCGAAAUCAGUAUUGAAAAAUUAACGUGAAGAAUCACAAUACUGAAUUCUAGUACAAAAAUUAGUGAUAUACAAGUGAGUCGGGAGAUCUCGUUUUGUAUUUCAGUACUGAAAUCAGUAUUGAAAUAUUAAGGUGCAUAAUCGCAAUACUGAAUAUCAGAACCGAAAUGAGUGAUAUAGAACAUAGUCGGGUCAUCUUGGUGAUCUAGUUCAGUAUUGAAAUCAGUACUGAAAUAUUAACGUGGAUAAUCAGAACACUGAAUUUUAGUACCGAAUUAGUGAUAUACAAUCGAGUCGGGUCAUCGUGGUGCGGUUUUCAAUAUUAAAUAUUAACGUGGAUAAUCACAAUACUAAGUUUUAGUACUGAAAUUACUAAUAUAGAACCGAGUCAGGUGUUAGUCAAGCUAUUUUUGAGUACGCAAAUUAAUACUGAAAUACUAACAUGGAUAAUCACAAUAGUAAAAUUUAUACCGAAAUUAGUGAUAUAGAAGUGAGUCGGGUGAUCGUCGUUUUGUUUUUCAGUACUGAAAUCAGUAUUAAAGUAUUAAAGUGGAUAAUCGCAAUACUGAAUUUUAGUACCGAAAUUAGUGAUGUAAAACAUAGUCGGGUCAUGUUGGUGCUAUAUUUCAGUACUGAAAUCAAUAUUGAAAUAUUAAGGUGGAUAAUCACAAUACUGAAUUUUAGUACCGAAAUUAGAAAUUUACAACUCAGUCGGGUCAUCAUGGUGCUGUUUUUUCAGUAUCGAAAUACUAACGUAGUUAAUCUCAAUGCUAUAUUUUAGUACCAAAAUUAGUGAUAUAGAAUUGAGUCAUGCGUUCAUCCAGCUGUUUUUCAGUACUGAAAUCAAUACUGCAAUAUUUACAUGGAUAAUCGCAGUACCGAAUAUUAGUAACAAAUUUGUGAUAUACAGCUAAGUCUCGUGAUCAUCGUUUCAUUUUUAAGUCGUGAAAUCAGUAUUGAAAUAUUAAGUGGAUAAUCGCAAUACUGAAUUUUAGUACCAAAAUUAGUGAUAUACAACUGAGUGUGAUGAUCAUCAUUUUAUAUUUCAGUAUUGAAAGCAAUAUUGAUAUAUUAAUGUGGAUAAUCACAAUACUAAAUUUUAGUACCGAAAUUAGUGAUACACGACCAAGUCGGGUCAUCCUGGUGCUGUAUUUCAAUAUUGAAGUCAGUACGGAAAUGUUAACAGGUAUAAAUAUAAUACUGAGUUAUAAUACCAAAAUCAGUGAUAUAGAACUGAGUGAGGUGUUAGUCGUGCUAUUUUUUUGUACUCAAAUCAAUACUGACAUAUUAACAUAGAUAAUCGCAAUACUAAAUUUUAUACCGAAAUUAGUGAUAUAAAUCUGAGUCAGGUCAUCCUAGUGCUGUUUUUAGUAUUGAAAUCAGUAUUGAAAAAUUAACGUGAAGAAUCACAAUACUGAAUUCUAGUACCAAAAUUAGUGAUAUACAAGUGAGUCGGGAGAUCUCGUUUUGCAUUUUAGUACUGAAAUCAGUAUUGAAAUAUUAAGGUGGAUAAUCGCAAUACUGAAUUUCAGAACCGAAAUGAGUGAUAUAGAACAUAGUCGGGUCAUCUUGGUGAUCUAGUUUAGUAUUGAAAUCAAUACUGAAAUAUUAACGUGGAUAAUCAGAACACUGAAUUUUAGUACCGAAAAUAGUGAUAUACAAUCGAGUCGGGUCAUCGUGGUGCGUUUUUCAAUAUUAAAUAUUAACGUGGAUAAUCACAAUACUAAGUUUUAGUACUGAAAUUAGUGAUAUAGAACCGAGUCAGGUGUUAGUCAAGCUAUUUUUGAGUACUCAAAUUAAUACUGAAAUACUAACAUGGAUAAUCACAAUAGUAAAAUUUAUACCGAAAUUAGUGAUAUAGACGUGAGUCGGGUGAUCGUCGUUUUGUUUUUCAGUACUGAAAUCAGUAUUAAAGUAUUAAAGUGGAUAGUCGCAAUACUGAAUUUUAGUACCGAAAUGAGUGAUGUAAAACAUAGUCGGCUCAUGUUGGUGCUAUAUUUCAGUAUUGAAAUCAAUAUUGAAAUAUUAAGGUGGAUAAUCACAAUACUGAAUUUUAGUACCGAAAUUAGAAAUUUACAACUCAGUUGGGUCAUCGUGGUGCUGUUUUUUCAGUAUCGAAAUAUUAACGUGGUUAAUCUCAAUGCUAUAUUUUAGUACCAAAAUUAGUGAUAUAGAAUUGAGUCAUGCGUUCAUCCAGCUAUUUUUCAGUACUGAAAUCAAUACUGCAAUAUUUACAUGGAUAAUCGCAGUACCGAAUAUUAGUAAUAAAUUUGUGAUAUACAGCUAAGUCUCGUGAUUAUCGUUUCGUUUUGAAGUCUUGAAAUCAGUAUUGAAAUAUUAAGUGGAUAAUCGCAAAACUGAAUUUUAAUACCAAAAUUAGUGAUAUACAACUGAGUGUGAUGAUCGUCAUUUUAUAUUUCAGUAUUGAAAUCAAUAUUGAUAUAUUAAUGUGGAUAAUCACAAUACUAAAUUUUAGUACUGAAAUUAUUGAUACACGACCGAGUCGGGUGAUCGUGGUGUUGUAUUUCGGUAUUGAAGUCAAUACGGAAAUGUUAACAUGUAUAAUCAUAAUACUGAGUUUUAAUACCAAAAUCAGUGAUAUAGAACUGAGUGAGGUGUUAGUCGUGCUAUUUUUUGUACUCAAAGCAAUACUAACAUAUUAACAUAGAUAAUCGCAAUACUGAAUUUUAUACCAAAAUUAGUGAUAUAAAACUGAGUCAGGUCAUCCUAGUGCUAUUUUUAGUAUCGAAAUCAUUAUUGAAAAAUUAACGUGAAGAAUCACAAUACUGAAUUCUAGUACCAAAAUUAGUGAUAUACAAGUGAGUCGGGUGAUCUCGUUUUGUAUUUCAGUACUGAAAUCAGUAUUGAAAUAUUAAGGUGGAUAAUCGCAAUACUGAAUUUCAGUACCGAAAUGAGUGAUAUAGAACAUAGUCGGGUCAUCUUGGUGAUCUAUUCAGUAUUGAAAUCAGUACUGAAAUAUUAACGUGGAUAAUCAGAACACUGAAUUUUAGUACCGAAAUUAGUGAUAUACAAUAGAGUCGGGUCAUCGUGGUGCGGUUUCCAAUAUUAAAUAUCAACGUGGAUAAUCACAAUACUAAGUUUUAGUACUGAAAUUAGUGAUAUAGAACCGAGUCAGGUGUUAGUCAAGCUAUUUUUGAGUACGCAAAUUAAUACUGAAAUACUAACAUGGAUAAUCACAAUAGUAAAAUUUAUACCGAAAUUUGUGAUAUAGAAGUGAGUCGGGUUAUCGUCGUUUUGUUUUUCAGUACUGAAAUCAGUAUUAAAGUAUUAAAGUGGAUAAUCGCAAUACUGAAUUUUAGUACCGAAAUGAGUGAUGUAAAACAUAGUCGGGUCAUGUUGGUGCUAUAUUUCAGUACUGAAAUCAAUAUUGAAAUAUUAAGGUGGAUAAUCACAAUACUGAAUUUUAGUACCGAAAUUAGAAAUUUACAACUCAGUCGGGUCAUCGUGGUGCUGUUUUUUCAGUAUCGAAAUACUAACGUGGUUAAUCUCAAUGCUAUAUUUUAGUGCCAAAAUUAGUGAUAUAGGAUUGAGUCAUGCGUUCAUCCAGCUGUUUUUCAGUACUGAAAUCAAUACUGCAAUAUUUACAUGGAUAAUCGCAGUACCGAAUAUUAGUAACAAAUUUGUGAUAUACAGCUAAGUCUCGUGAUCAUCGUUUCGUUUUGAAGUCUUGAAAUCAGUAUUGAAAUAUUAAGUGGAUAAUCGCAAUACUGAAUUUUAGUACCAAAAUUAGUGAUAUACAACUGAGUGUGAUGAUCGUCAUUUUAUAUUUCAGUAUUGAAAUCAAUAUUGAUAUAUUAAUGUGGAUAAUCACAAUACUAAAUUUUAGUACUGAAAUUAGUGAUACACGACCGAGUCGGGUCAUCGUGGUGAUGUAUUUCAGUAUUGAAGUCAGUACGGAAAUGUUAACAUGUAUAAUCAUAAUACUGAGUUUUAAUACCAAAAUCAGUGAUAUAGAACUGAGUGAGGUGUUAGUCGUGCUAUUUUCUGUAUUCAAAUCAAUACUGACAUAUUAACAUAGAUAAUCAUAAUACUGAAUUUUAUACCAAAAUUAGUGAUAUAAAACUGAGUCAGGUCAUCCUAGUGCUAUUUUUAGUAUUCAAAUCAGUAUUGAAAAAUUAACGUGAAGAAUCACAAUACUGAAUUCUAGUACCAAAAUUAGUGAUAUACAAGUGAGUCGGUGAUCUCGUUUUGUAUUUCAGUACUGAAAUCAGUAUUGAAAUAUUAAGGUGGAUAAUCACAAUACUGAAUUUUAGUACCGAAAUUAGAAAUUUACAACUCAUCGGGUCAUCGUGGUGCUGUUUUUUCAGUAUUGAAAUAUUAACGUGGUUAAUCUCAAUGCUAUAUUUUAGUACCAAAAUUAGUGAUAUAGAAUUGAGUCAUGCGUUCAUCCAGCUGUUAUUCAGUACUGAAAUCAAUACUGCAAUAUUUACAUGGAUAAUCGCAGUACCGAAUAUUAGUAAAAAAAUUGUGAUAUACAGCUAAGUCUCGUGAUCAUCGUUUUGUUUUUAAGUCUUGAAAUCGGUAUAGAAAUAUUAGUGGAUAAUCGCAAUACUGAAUUUUAAUACCAAAAUUAGUGAUAUACAACUGAGUGUGAUGAUUGUCAUUUUAUAUUUCAGUAUUGAAACCAAUAUUGAUAUAUUAAUUUGGAUUAUCAAAAUACUAUAUUUUAGUACUGAAAUUAGUGAUACACGACCGAGUCGGGUCAUCGUGGUGUUGUAUUUCAGUAUUGAAGUCAGUACGGAAAUGUUAACAUGUAUAAUCAUAAUACUGAGUUUUAAUACCAAAAUUAGUGAUAUAGAACUGAGUGAGGUGUUAGUCAUGCUAUUUUUUAGUACUCAAAUCAAUACUGACAUAUUAACAUCGAUAAUCGCAAUAAUGAAUUUUAUACCGAAAUUAGUGAUAUAAAACUGAGUCAGGUCAUCCUAGUGCUAUUUUUAGUAUUGAAAUCAGUAUUGUAAAAUUAACGUGAAGAAUCACAAUACUGAAUGCUAGUACUAAAAUUAGUGUUAUACAAGUGAGUCGGGUGAUCUCGUUUUGUAUUUCAGUACUGAAAUCAGUGCUGAAAAAUUAAGGUGGAUAAUCGCAAUACUGAAUUUCAGUACCGAAAUGAGUGAUAUAGUACAUAGUCGGGUCAUCUUGGUGAUCUAGUUCAGUAUUGAAAUCAGUACUGAAAUAUUAACGUGGAUAAGCAGAACACUGAAUUUAAGUACCGAAAUUAGUGAUAUACAAUCGAGUCGGAUCAUCGUGGUGCGGUUUUCAAUAUUAAAUAUUAACGUGGAUAAUCACAAUACUAAGUUUUAGUACUGAAAUUAGUGAUAUAGAACCGAGUCAGGUGUUAGUCAAGCUACUUUUGAGUACUCAAAUUAAUACUGAAAUACUAACAUGGAUAAUCGCAAUAGUAAAAUUUAUACCGAAAUUAGUGAUGUAGAAGUGAGCCGGGUGAUCGUCGUUUUGUUUUUUUUUGUACUGAAAUCAGUAUUAAAGUAUUAAAGUGGAUAAUCGCAAUACUGAAUUUUAGUACCGAAAUGAGUGAUGUAAAACAUAGUCUGGUCAUCUUGGUGCUAUAUUUUACUACUGAAAUCAAUAUUGAGAUAUUAAGGUGGAUAAUCACAAUACUGAAUUUAAGUACCGAAAUUAGAAAUUUACAACUCAGUCGGGUCAUCGUGGUGCCUUUUUUCAGUAUUGAAAUAUUAACGUGGUUAAUCUCAAUGCUAUAUUUUAGUACCAAAAUUAGUGAUAUAGAAUUGAGUCAUGCGUUCAUCCAGCUGUUUUUAUUUACUGAAAUCAAUACUGCAAUAUUUACAUGGAUAAUCGCAGUACCGAAUAUUAGUAACAAAUUUGUGAUAUACAGCUAAGUCUCGUGAUCAUCGUUUGUUUUUAAGUCUUCAAAUCAGUAUUGAAAUAUUAGUGGAUAAUCGUAAUACUAAAUUUUAAUAACAAAAUUAGUGAUAUACAACUGAGUGUGAUGAUCGUCGUUUUAUAUUUCAGUAUUGAAACCAAUAUUGAUAUAUUAAUGAGGAUAAUCACAAUACUAAAUUUUAGUACUGAAAUUAGUGAUACGCGACCGAGUCGGGUCAUCGUGGUGCUGUAUUGAAGUCAGUACGGAAAUGUUAACAUGUAUAAUCAUAAUACUGAGUUUUAAUACCAAAAUUAGUGAUAUAGAACUGAGUGAGGUGUUAGUCAUGCUAUUUUUUAGUACUCAAAUCAAUACUGACAUAUUAACAUUGAUAAUCGCAAUACUGAAUUUUAUACCGAAAUUAGUGAUACAAAACUGAGUCAGGUCAUCCUAGUGCUAUUUUUAGUAUUGAAAUCAGUAUUGAAAAUUUAACGUGAAGAAUCACAAUACUGAAUUCUAGUACCAAAAUUAGUGAUAUACAACUGAGUCAGGUGAUCUCGUUUUGUAUUUCAGUACUGAAAUCAAUAUUGAAAUAUUAAGGUGGAUAAUCCAAUACUGAAUUUCAGUACCGAAAUGAGUGAUAUAGAACAUAGUCGGGUCAUCUUGGUGAUCUACUUCAGUAUUGAAAUCAGUACUGAAAUAUUAACGUGAUAAUCAGAACACUGAAUUUUAGUACCGAAAUUAGUGAUAUACAAUCGAGUCGGGUGAUCGUGGUGCGGUUUUUAAUAUUAAAUAUUAAAGUGGAUAAUCACAAUACUAUAUUUUAGUACCGAAAUUAGUGAUAUAGAACCGUCUCAGGUGUUAGUCAAGCUAUUUUUGAGUACUCAAAUUAAUACUGAAAUACUAACAUGGAUAAUCGCAAUAGUAAAAUUUAUACCGAAAUUAGUGAUAUAGAAGUGAGUCGGGUGAUCCUCGUUUUGUUUUUCAGUACUGAAAUCAGUAUUAAAGUAUUAAAGUGGAUAAUCGCAAUACUGAAUUUUAGUACCGAGAUGAGUGAUGUAAAACAUAGUCGGGUCAUCUUGGUGCUAUAUUUCAGUACUGAAAUCAAUAUUGAAAUAUUAAGGUGGAUAAUCACAAUACUGAAUUUUAGUACCGAAAUUAGAAAUUAACAACUCAGUCGGGUCAUCGUGGUGCUGUUUUUUCAGUAUUGAAAUAUUAACGUGGUUAAUCUCAAUGCUAUAUUUUAGUACCAAAAUUAGUGAUAUAGAAUUGAGUCAUGCAUUCAUCCAGCUGUUUUUCAGUACUGAAAUCAAUACUGCAAUAUUUACAUGGAUAAUCGCAAUACCGAAUAUUAGUAACAAAUUUGUUAUAUACAGCUAAGUCUCGUGAUCAUCGUUUUGCUUUUAAGUCUUGAAAUCAGUAUUGAAAUAUUAGUGGAUAAUCGCAAUACUGAAUUUUAAUACCAAAAUUAGUGAUAUACAACUGAGUGUGAUGAUUGUCAAUUUUAAAUUUCAGUAUUGAAACCAAUAUUGAUAUAUUAAUGUGGAUAAUCACAAUACUAAAUUUUAGUACUGAAAUUAGUGAUACACCACCGAUUCGGGUCAUCGUGGUGAUGUAUUUCAGUAUUGAAGUCAGUACGGAAAUGUUAACAUGUAUAAUCAUAAUACGGAGUUUUAAUACCAAAAUUAGUGAUAUAGAACUGAGUGAGGUGUUAGUCAUGCUAUUUUUUAGUACUCAAAUCAAUACUGACAUAAUAACAUUGAUAAUCAAAAUACUGAAUUUUAUACCGAAAUUAGUGAUAUAAAACUGAGUCAGGUCAUCCUAGUGCUAUUUUUAUUAUUGAAAUCAGUAUUGAAAAAUUAACGUGAAGAAUCACAAUACUGAAUUCUAGUACCAAAAUUAGUGUUAUACAAGUGAGUCGGGUGAUCUCGUUUUGUAUUUCAGUACUGAAAUCAGUAUUGAAAGAUUAAGGUGGAUAAUCGUAAUAUUGAAUUUCAGUACCGAAAUGAGUGAUAUAGAACAUAGUCGGGUCAUCUUGGUGAUCUAAUUCAGUAUUGAAAUCAGUAUUGAAAUAUUAACGUGGAUAAUCAGAACACUGAAUUUUAGUACCGAAUUAGUGAUAUACAAUCGAGUCGGGUCAUCGUGGUGCGGUUUUCAAUAUUAAAUAUUAACGUGGAUAAUCACAAUACUAAGUUUUAGUACUGAAAUUAGUGAUAUAGAACCGAGUCAGGUGUUAGUCAAGCUAUUUUUGAGUACUGAAAUUAAUACUGAAAUACUAACAUGGAUAAUCGCAAUAGUAAAAUUUAUACCAAAAUUAGUGAUAUAGAAGUGAGUCGGGUGAUCGUCGUUUUGUUUUUCAGUUCUGAAAUCAUUAUUAAAGUAUUAAAGUGGAUAAUCGCAAUACUGAAUUUUAGUACCGAAAUGAGUGAUGUAAAACAUAGUCGGGUCAUGUUGGUGCUAUAUUUCAGUACUGAUAUCAAUAUUGAAAUAUUAAGGUGGAUAAUCACAAUACUGAAUUUUAGUACCAAAAUUAGAAAUUUACAACUCAGUCGGGUCAUCGUGGUGCUGUUUUUUCAGUAUCGAAAUACUAACGUGGUUAAUCUCAAUGCUAUAUUUUAGUGCCAAAAUUAGUGAUAUAGAAUUGAGUCAUGCGUUCAUCCAGCUGUUUUUCAGUACUGAAAUCAAUACUGCAAUAUUUACAUGGAUAAUCGCAGUACCGAAUAUUAGUAACAAAUUUGUGAUAUACAGCUAAGUCUCGUGAUCAUCGUUUCGUUUUGAAGUCUUGAAAUCAGUAUUGAAAUAUUAAGUGGAUAAUCGCAAUACUGAAUUUUAGUACCAAAAUUAGUGAUAUACAACUGAGUGUGAUGAUCGUCAUUUUAUAUUUCAGUAUUGAAAUCAAUAUUGAUAUAUUAAUGUGGAUAAUCACAAUACUAAAUUUUAGUACUGAAAUUAGUGAUACACGACCGAGUCGGGUCAUCGUGGUGAUGUAUUUCAGUAUUGAAGUCAGUACGGAAAUGUUAACAUGUAUAAUCAUAAUACUGAGUUUUAAUACCAAAAUCAGUGAUAUAGAACUAAGUGAGGUGUUAGUCGUGCUAUUUUCUGUAUUCAAAUCAAUACUGACAUAUUAACAUAGAUAAUCAUAAUACUGAAUUUUAUACCAAAAUUAGUGAUAUAAAACUGAGUUAGGUCAUCCUAGUGCUAUUUUUAGUAUUCAAAUCAGUAUUGAAAAAUUAACGUGAAGAAUCACAAUACUGAAUUCUAGUACCAAAAUUAGUGAUAUACAAGUGAGUCGGUGAUCUCGUUUUGUAUUUCAGUACUGAAAUCAGUAUUGAAAUAUUAAGGUGGAUAAUCACAAUACUGAAUUUUAGUACCGAAAUUAGAAAUUUACAACUCAUCGGGUCAUCGUGGUGCUGUUUUUUCAGUAUUGAAAUAUUAACGUGGUUAAUCUCAAUGCUAUAUUUUAGUACCAAAAUUAGUGAUAUAGAAUUGAGUCAUGCGUUCAUCCAGCUGUUAUUCAGUACUGAAAUCAAUACUGCAAUAUUUACAUGGAUAAUCGCAGUACCGAAUAUUAGUAAAAAAAUUGUGAUAUACAGCUAAGUCUCGUGAUCAUCGUUUUGUUUUUAAGUCUUGAAAUCGGUAUAGAAAUAUUAGUGGAUAAUCACAAUACUGAAUUUUAAUACCAAAAUUAGUGAUAUACAACUGAGUGUGAUGAUUGUCAUUUUAUAUUUCAGUAUUGAAACCAAUAUUGAUAUAUUAAUUUGGAUUAUCAAAAUACUAUAUUUUAGUACUGAAAUUAGUGAUACACGACCGAGUCGGGUCAUCGUGGUGUUGUAUUUCAGUAUUGAAGUCAGUACGGAAAUGUUAACAUGUAUAAUCAUAAUACUGAGUUUUAAUACCAAAAUUAGUGAUAUAGAACUGAGUGAGGUGUUAGUCAUGCUAUUUUUUAGUACUCAAAUCAAUACUGACAUAUUAACAUCGAUAAUCGCAAUAAUGAAUUUUAUACCGAAAUUAGUGAUAUAAAACUGAGUCAGGUCAUCCUAGUGCUAUUUUUAGUAUUGAAAUCAGUAUUGUAAAAUUAACGUGAAGAAUCACAAUACUGAAUGCUAGUACUAAAGUUAGUGUUAUACAAGUGAGUCGGGUGAUCUCGUUUUGUAUUUCAGUACUGAAAUCAGUGCUGAAAAAUUAAGGUGGAUAAUCGCAAUACUGAAUUUCAGUACCGAAAUGAGUGAUAUAGUACAUAGUCGGGUCAUCUUGGUGAUCUAGUUCAGUAUUGAAAUCAGUACUGAAAUAUUAACGUGGAUAAGCAGAACACUGAAUUUAAGUACCGAAAUUAGUGAUAUACAAUCGAGUCGGAUCAUCGUGGUGCGGUUUUCAAUAUUAAAUAUUAACGUGGAUAAUCACAAUACUAAGUUUUAGUACUGAAAUUAGUGAUAUAGAACCGAGUCAGGUGUUAGUCAAGCUACUUUUGAGUACUCAAAUUAAUACUGAAAUACUAACAUGGAUAAUCGCAAUAGUAAAAUUUAUACCGAAAUUAGUGAUGUAGAAGUGAGCCGGGUGAUCGUCGUUUUGUUUUUUUGUACUGAAAUCAGUAUUAAAGUAUUAAAGUGGAUAAUCGCAAUACUGAAUUUUAGUACCGAAAUGAGUGAUGUAAAACAUAGUCGGGUCAUCUUGGUGCUAUAUUUUACUACUGAAAUCAAUAUUGAGAUAUUAAGGUGGAUAAUCACAAUACUGAAUUUAAGUACCGAAAUUAGAAAUUUACAACUCAGUCGGGUCAUCGUGGUGCCU